GGCACAGUGCUUUUGGCAUAAAUAGCAGUGCAUGCCUUCCUCAGUAUGCCUGAGCCAGGUAAAUUGAUUGAGCCAUUGCUUGUCAAAGCCACUGGCUCUGUGUUUUUGAGAAAAUCUGGAAAGAGGAAUAAAAACCACGUACACGUUGGCUUUGCGUUGUUAUGCUCCUAAUUGGAAACUAAUUAAUUAAUUACCCUCGCCUCGCCGACUCGUCCUGUCCUGCAUUCUGACCCUCGCGAUCACCAGUCCCUUGUGAAGUACUUUCAGACCUGACACAAAUUUCCACGUUGUCACCACUAUGAAUUAUAGCAUUUUAACUGCCUAUUACGUUUUUUCUCUGCUGUGUUUCACCUGGACUCUUGACUUUCCUCCUUGCGAGGUCGCUUUUUAAAGUACUGGCUGAUUUUGCCUGUCAUAUCUGCAACGCUAAAAAACGGAGGAAACUUUUUUUUAAAUAAACACGUCAUGCUUGGAUGCAAAAAAGACAAGCAGUAUUUACCUGUUUGUACCAUCCGCCAGGGAAAAUCAGGACGCCGAUAGCACCAACUAGCGGGAAAAAAACUUGAAAAAACAUGAUUCGAUCCGUUUCUUCUUCGGUAGAGGCUUCAGGUCUUUCCGGUGCACUGCUGUUGAUAUAGCGCCUCUAUAGUGGCGCAACGCUGCAACUGCAGUUAAAAUACGUUGCUGCAGCAGAGGGACAUCAUACACUCAAUCAACACAGCUGGAGCUUUACGCUGUGUUGAGCGAAAUCAAUCGCUCUGGCCGGGGGCGGCACAAAAUUAGGUGGAGGCGGCCGCCAUGCAAUUUUGAACGCAGGAAAAACCCUGUAAAGAAUAUAAUGACUGUUACUGUAGGGGACAUAAUUCUUCUUCUUAAACUGUUUCUGUGGCGGAAAGUUUAAUAUUUUUAAAGACCAUAUGAAGACUUAUUUCACUCAUUCAAAGGAAAAAAAAAAGAAGAAAAAAAUACUUCUGUUCUUGUGAAAAUCUCAAAAACCAACAAAGAGGAUUGCCUAGCUGUAUAAAUACAUACUUGACAGCUUCGACUGGAUCCAGAGCCAUGUAAUCGUGGGGUUUUUUCAAAGGCGAUGUUUCACUAUCGUAAGUAAACAAGAAGAAAUUUUUUUCUUACAAGAUCCUUUUAAUGCAGAGGAAAGAUCAAAAUAUAAAAGAUAAAAAGCAAAGAUGUGACUGAAGUACUUUAAGUGCUAAAAUGGACAGUGAAAAAGCCCAAGUAGAUAAACAAGCUAACCUUGGUCAGGUAUUAUCGCCAUGGCGCUGUACAAGAUGGAUGCCUCUCCAGUACCUCUCCAGUGCUUAGUACUUAAAACCUUUAGACCUAUUUUUUCAUCUCCUUGUCAUCUUUUUUUUUUCUUUUUUUCUGUCUUCUUACAGUGACAUAAUUUCCUUGUUUUUGCUUUUUCUCCUCUUGAUGUGUUUUUAUACUUUUUCAAAGGGCAUUAAAUUAAAUAAAUAAACAUCUUUCAACAACUCAAACUUCAUUUGUCCCUUAUUCCAUCUGUGAGCAUGGGGAAUGUAAACUUGCUGCCAAGCAAGAGGUGGAGGUGGAGGCUGUAGGCUCGUACAAGUACCAUGGACAAUAAGCUGGACAGCAAGCUUCUUUCCUUUUUUUUUUCUUCCUGUUGCUGCUGGAAUUUUAAUUUCCUUGCGGGAACCUUCCCAAAAGGAUCAAUAAAGUCUAUCUAAUCUAAUCUAGGUCAACAGAUAAAACCAAUUGUGUGAUCUGAAAGGAUUCAAAACCCAUCAGGCGUUUACCAUUUUCCUCUUUGAAAGCUCUGUAAUGGGUUUUUGAUUUGUAAAAGAAAUUGGAGUUAUUUUUUUUUGGCUAAGAAGUUUUACAAAACUUGUUUGAUGUUUGAUUACUUCUGCUGUUCUCUAUUUCAUGUCCUUGAGUGUUUUUUCUUGUCUUUGGAUGGACUCUAAUAAAGGCUUUUGAUACAGUAAUUACUGAUAGAUCCUCUGCUUUGCACCUUAUUUUGGCAUUUCCCUACUACUCCCUGCUACUUCGUGAUGAUUGCAAGUUACUGUACUGAGUGAAAGUACGAAUGCUCAAUUAAUUUGUAACUUGCAGAGGCACAAGCUGCAAUGUCACAUUUUGAUCUUUAAAACCCCUGGAAUUUUUGUUCUUAAAAGCACCCAUUUAUCUCUUAGAGAGGUAUUACAAGCCACCUCACAGUCUGGUGCUGCUUCUUGGUCUCUCCUCUACUUGAUGAGAUGGAGCAACCAGCAUAAAGGACCUUAGCUCUGAACUCAUGGUAUUACCAUUUGCUUAUUUUAACCACAAUGCAAGCAUUGGUUCAUCAGAGAGUAUCAGAGUAUCAUGACAGCCCUAUUUUCAACAUAACUAAAACACUUGUUUUACUGAGGUCACAGAUUCUAUCCAUCUUUCUACUGAUAAAAACAAUUCUACUCAAAUAGGCAAGAAAAAUUGUCUGCUGGAAUUUCACCACUAUCUAAAUCUAUCCUGGCUGCAGUCCAAUACAGCAGAGAACCUUAAGACAGCCAAGAGCCUCAGAGUUCACCAAUACUGUACUUCAGGGUGAGUCAAUGACCCCGAAGUGUAUCUGGUGAGAUGGAGAAACUUUUCUUGAACAGAGGGCAGGAAAAUAGGAAAAUUCAUGGACCUUAAUUUUAACAACCUCCAAGAAGGUUAAAUAAAUGGUUAUGAUUAAGACGCUUGCUGGAUCAUCACUGUAACUGGAAUCUAUUUGAAGUCAUCAUAAUAAAAAAUAAUAAUAAUAAAAAAAAUAGUUGAAAAAAAAAGUUGAAAACACAAAUUGCUUGGAAAAUGUGUUUCCUAAUGUGUACUGGUUUGUUUUAUCCAUCCUUUUAAUUUCUUCACGGUUGACAGAAGCUCCAGUCAGUCGAGUUAUUUCCCUGAUAAACCAAAGGACUUAAGGGGGAGCGCUUAGUCUUCAUGUUUAAAGCUUGAAACACUAAAAACCCUGAAUUUUUUGCAGAUUUGAAAAUUUGCACCACCACCUCUGCCAGUUGAUGUAAAAAGCUGACAAGCAAAGCAGACAUGUUUUGGACAGUCAGUUCUGGGCUGCAUCUUACUCCGGUUUAUUGUCACUGCAGUGGGAGGCUGAGCCUGCUGGUCAUUUUCCCUCUCUCAAUUUUGUUGUUGGGGACUCUUGGCUGACUAAGUGCUCCAAAUGGAUUCGGCCUCUUGCCAGAGUCCCUCUCUUCCUUUCUUUCUUCCUUUCUUUCUUUUUUUCUGUGUCUCUGUGGCUCACUCUUACAGCUUUUCGUGCGUUGUGACGUAAAAUCGGACGAGUGCAGACAAAAGAUGAUAGGGGAUGGGUGCCAAAAGGAGUACAGUCACUGACAGUGACAUUAGUGGUUACAAAACAGCUUCAAAAUAUAACCACUUUUGGAAAAGAGAGAGGAUUUUCAGGAUCAGGCUGGGUAUAUUUUUGCCAACACUUGAUAAGGAGAUUUACUAGCAUGUAUUUCCCACUCUAUAAACUUAAACUGAAGGCCAUUCUGUGGUCAGCGCACAUCUGUGCCUGUUUAUGAGUCCUGGAAUCGCUUCACUCUCUUUCUCGCUCUCGGAGCAAGAAAAUGAAAGGCGAUGGUUGAGCAGGAGACUAAAGGAUGUAAAAGUUAAACUGCCUGCUGAUAUUUUUACUGCCUGUCUGUGUUCCUCUGUGAUGUGCUGGGAGCUGCUGCCAAUGUAAGCUUCCAGUUCGACAAACGUGGGCGUCCCAGACCUCCCUCGUCUGCUUAAAUGUGUGCAAAAAAAAGUAAAGUAAGAAAGUACAAGGUGAAGAGAAAAGGACACAAGAGGAGGUUAGGAAGAAAUAAGGAUUAAGGUGUUUUGGAAAUAAGUUGUAUUCAGGGUAUUAAGGGAAUAGUUGCACAACAAGCCGAUUUCUCUGAAUAUUUACUCUGUGAGCACCUACUUUAUACCGCUUCUGGCUCUUAUUUUUCAGCCAUAAUGCCUUUAUUUAGCCCUCCACACACAGCUCAAAUAGACACUUGUAUUGAUUAGCUUUUAAUUUCGGUGUUUUGGUCUUAUCUUCUUGGCAGUGUUUGGACAAAUGCCCUAAAUCAUCCAGCACAUAUUCCAGGUGGUCCACAUAUCUGCAUGACGCAAACGUCCAUACUUGAUUGGAUUUUGUUAUCUCUGUAAUUGUUUUAAUCAGCCAAUCACAAUUAGCCUCCAGGAAAAAUAGACAGAGUGGAAAAGGAAAAGAAAGGGAGACAGAAGGGGGAGGGUUGAGUCCAUUACUGGUGUAGCAUAUCUUUGUGGUACUUGAUUCUCAUUUCGGUAAAUUGAAGAAACUGGGCCAAACAAAAAAGCUUAGUUUGAGGUCAGCAUGUGCAGACGCACUGAAGGUUUCUUUUUCUUUUUCUUCCUCCUCAAUGGGUAAUCACCCCAAGCUGUCUAUCAGGCAUCCAAUCUCAUCUUCUUCCUUAACAAAUGAGCCCGUUCAAUACGAAUGUCCUCUAAGGAAAAUAAAGGAGCUUCACCAUAAAGUACAGACCACUAGGGAGAUGAACAUUUUUUCCAAUACAGUUAAAAACUGCUUCAAUCAGCAGUAAGACUUCUUUGUCUUUUAUAGGGUGAAAAUGGUGAUUUGAGUCCGAAUUGGCACAGAAUAUUAAUAAAUGAUGAGCAGUGAGAGUUAGCAUGCAGCGGAUGGCUCCUUUAUUCUCCCUUGCCAUGCCAAAAUAGUUCUAUACGUUCAAAUCAGCAUAAUCCUCGCAGCCCUUAUUCGUCCAUGUGGCCUUUAAGUUGCAGAAGAGUACAGAAUGACCUCUUUCAGUUUGGGGAUUUCCAGUAUGGACACUCUUAAACUUUAUGAUUUUUUAUCAUCCUGCCGUGAUCAUUCCUUCACUCAUGGGUGCACUCAAGCAAAGUCACCUCUUCUGAACAGAUAGUGCACUUGAUUAGAUCUUUUUUUUUUUUUCUGCAGUCAAAACGGAGAAAGAAGAAAAAAGAUUAAAGAGGUGAAAAACAAAGAAAAUAAGAGUGUAUGUCUUUAAAAUUUUGACCCCUGAAGGAGCUUUAUCGGUGAGCCUCGAGUUACCCGAGGGUGUGCAGCAGCUUAUGAGGCUCUCUCAAAAGAAAAAAAAAAGAAUAAAAAAGGCAAAUGCUUACUUAAUCGUCUAUUUCAAACUCACCGGAGAAUAAUAAAUUACAUGAAGUUUCCUUUGAGUCAACCUCUUACAUGAAUUUGUUCAAAUUCUGUCUUUUGUUUGAAGCUUAGAUAUUAUGUUGGCAGGAGAAGUACUUCUGAAGCUAUAAUCCAUCACUGUAGGCUCUGCAGUGCCUUUUUAUUUUAUGUAACAUUUGUUGAUUUUCUUAAUACUCCAUUGAUUUAUUCUUCAGUUUUCCAAGAAGGAUUAAAUGGACUGAGAUGCAAGACGAGGCGUAGUCAUUAUUGCAUAUUAUUCUGAAUCACUCUGCAAGGUGGGAGGGGAAAAUAUGUGCAGCUUAAGUGCAGUUUAAGAAAUAAUUCUGCUGUUAUUUCAACCUUGAAUGUUGUCUUCCAUUGGCAUUUUGCUCACUUAGCCACUUUUCUUUAAGUGCUGGUCCAAGUUUGAAUAAAUAAAUAAAUAAACUACUGGGUAUUUCUGCAUUUACUUCCUUCAAACGUGGUUAUAUUUCAUAAAUGAGUACUCUGACACUGAUUUGGGUUGUGCUUUUCCUAAUCCGGUGAUAAAGUUUUACAGCCUGAUAAUUUAUUCCAGUGGUACAUUAGGUUAUUGCUUUCUGGCCGUGGAAGCCAACAUUUGAAGUCUUUUGGCAUCUCAAUGUGACUGAUACUAAAGUGAAAACAGCAGAAAAAUGAUCAGUCUUCACUGGUCAGUCCAUUAAAUCACAUACAAACCACAAUUCCAAUAUAGCUGGGCCUGGGACGUUGUUCAAAGCGUGAAUAAAAAAAAACAGAAUACAAUGAUUUGCAAAUCUUUUUCAACCUAUAUUUAAUUAUAUUCACUACAAAAACAAGAUAGUCAAUAUUCACACUGAUAAACUUGUUUUUAUGAAGCUAUAUAGUCAUUUUCAAUUUUAAUACUUAUUUGAGGUGUUGAACGAUAGCCAAUGUGGAAGUGCCAAAAAAUUGCUGUUCCUUAGGUCGAGACCUGAAGGGGGAUCCAAUCACUGUUUUUCAGUGUUGAAAUAACCAGCUCAGUGACAGCUUUUUGCCUACUUUUUGGUUGACUGCAUUGAAAGUUUCAAGAUAUUAGAAUUUCAAACAUGGUGAUCUCCAUUUUUUGCCCUUCAAAUGUGAAGUUUUUUCUAAUGUUCCUGGUAUUCAUACCAUGCUUUGGGUUCCUAAGUUCUUAGAAAAUGUCAGUUUUGAUUGGGCCUCCAGAAUCUAGGCUAAAGCAUGGAGUUAACCUGACCCUCAAAUCUGUACAAAGACUUUAUUUCACAACAAAUAAUAGUUAAAGAUCAUGGCUGGUUAUGUGAAAGAACACAAACUAAUUCUCUGCUAAAUGUUUCUUUUCUUUCUUUUUCUUUCUCUUUCUUUCUUUCUUUCUUUCGUUAGUUCGUUCGCUCAACCCAACUAUCCGCCCAUUCAUUAAUUCAAUUAUUGUCCAUGAAUCUGUUCAUCCAAUAUACAUCCAAUAAAUCAUCUAUGAAUUUAUUAAUCCAUCCUUGCAUCCAUCCACACAAACAUACGUACAUUUUACCACCCCCCAUUCAUCCAUUCAACUGUUGAUGAAUCCUUUUUUUUAAUUAUUCAUCAAACCAUCCUUUCAUCCAUCCAUCUCCUUGGCUUUAGUUUUAUUUUAUUCGUACAGCACUGCGGAAAUUCGCACUCCACUUGCAUUCCGUGUCCCUUGGGUUUUUCAGAUAUACCUGUACUGAUAUCUCUUCGCAGGUCAUCCUGGAGUAGAUUAUUUUGGUCUUUGCUUUAAAGCCGAGCACCUGUUGAAUUGUGUUUGUAAUGUAAAUUGACUUUAUCGCUGUUGUCAAAAACAAGUAAGUGUCUCAUCCAUUUCUGCAUAACUAAAAGCAUUCAAAUGUAGUCUGUUUUUCCAUCAAGUGAUAGCAAAGAGUCUCCUUAGUAUCAGGCGCAAAGGCCUGUUAAGGACUGUUAAGUAUGUGGUCUCUUUACUCUAAUGGAAGCAGAAUAUUCAAGGACUGGAGGCAAUGACUCCUCCAUUGGCCCCCCGCCAACUACAUCAAGCUAUAAAGGACUAUUUGCUCACUUACUGCACUGCAGACAAUGCUUGGCAUCUAUCGCUUCGUCUGCCAUAACUCUUUUUUAUGUUAUAUUGUACCCUCCACUCUCUCUCCUUUUUUGUUUUCCCCACCUUACACCACCUUUUCUCUUAAGCCAGAUAUCACACACCAUCAGAAAAAGCAUAGAUGAUGUUCAGAGAGAUAUCAAAGGUAGAGAUAGUGUUUGAAAGGAUCUAGGUGGGUGUGGGCAAAGUGCUUGCGAAGGCACAAUUUUUUGUUUGGCUGUUGUCCUCUGAUUCAGGUCUAUAUCAUAACUGCAGGUCAUAUAUUCUGCUUUAUCAUUUCAGAGGGAAAACCGGCUACUCCUCAUAUUUCUUAAAAAACCUCCACUCCUCCGCCUGCAUCAGAGCACAGAAAUGUGUGCAAUUAUGCAGCUCACAGCUCCUUCCUCUUCGCAAGCUGAGAGUCAGAUCAAUGAGGACACAGAGAUCACAAGAGCAGACAGGUUGGGGAUGUUGGUCGGCUCAGAUAUGGAUCAACUUUAACUUGGCAUGUACCAAAUAAAAUGCCAGUGGGGGUAUCGGGAUGGAGAAACCCUGCAAUAAAUCAAUCUGGGCCCUGCGUGCAUACUGCAAUCAAGAGAGGCUGAGCAAGGUAGGGGGGCAAGGUGGUGAAAGACGAAUCGAUCAGCAGAGAUGAUCUGAGAGGAAAGAUUUCUUUUCGUUUUUCGUCUUGCUCUCAUAGACAUGAAUAUACGGCAGCACACACAUGCAACAGCACAAUAAACAGCAGGUAAAUGGAGCUGUAUCAAACCUCUCUGUGUGUAUCGAGCUUCUACGUUGCAUGUGUCCCUGCAUGUAGUACAAAGUCAACAUGAGUUUAGAUUGGAUGCUGUGUGUGUGUGUGUGUGUGUGUGUGUGUGUGUGUGUGUGUGUGUGUGUGUGUGUGUGUGUGUGUGUGUGUGUGUGUGUGUGUAGUACACUGUCAACAAGAGUCCUGAUAGGAAAAGGAGGAGAAAGCCAUUAGAGAUAGGAGCCCUGGUCUGAGGCGGCGUCUAAUGCAAGGCCACUCAGCCAGUCAACCAGAGCCUGCUUAUCGUGUCAUGGGUACACAAAGGCAACAAGCACACACACACUCAGACACACUCAAACACACACACUUAAGCACAUCCCAAAUUUCUCCCCAGGCUAUCCAUGCGGCCUCUUUGUCUGCACAUAUAUAAAAGGGUUAGGGGAGGAAUUGUUAAAUCAGAUGCGAACGCAGUCAAAUACACAAGUGAAAGUCAGUAAUAAAAGUUCCACUGAAGUUAUUUGUUUUUAUUUCAUAUUUUUAUUCUUUUACUGCGACCCUGCAGACUUUCAAACAUUAUCGCUGUAAUAAGUCACAACCCAUACAAGUAUAUGGACAUCAGAUCAUCCACAAAUUCAGUUUUAUACUCAGUCCUAUCAGCAUUCUGGAUCAUAUGCAGAGGUUUGCAUGUGCAUGCAGGGAGGCCUACCAGUAAGGAGUUACUUUGAUAUUACAAGAAUCUGUACCAGGAGCAUGUGGUGCUGGAGCUCAGUUCAAACAGCCAUGCCUUGGGUCAUUUCUUACACCCCUUGCAGCACAAGUGCCAAAACAUACAGGAAUUAACUUUAUCUAUAUGCAAUAACAUCAAUCCAUCAAUAUAGAUGAAUGGGCGGGCUUUAGUCAAGUCAAUUUUAUUCACAAAGCAGCUUUAAGAAGACAGCAGACAAACAAAGUACCAUACAUAAAAUAAAUAGAUAACAAUAAGACAAUAAAAUUAAAAACAGUGGGAUAAAAUAUAGACAGUGAAAGAAUAAAAGCUACAGUGCCUAUGAUUCAUGUGUGCUCAUUUAGAGAGUUUUAUCUCAGCUAUGGGCUGUGAAACCAUCACUGAUAGAGUUAUAGAAUUGUAUAACAGAGCCUCAGACACAAUAAAGAACUUGCCACUUCACUGAUGACUCCUUUGUGGACAGAGGCCAGUAUGAGCUGGAUUUGCAAUGGAGUUGUUGCUGAAACCUAAAGCUGUUCUAUCAAUAAAGACUUUUCAUAAAGGCUUGCAACCACAAACUUUGAGUUUGAAACUAUCAUAUCAAUGACUAACAAAUGGUACCAGAGCUAAAUGGGGAGGUAAUGUAGGAGAUAACAGCGAUCCUCUGCCAGUAUAAGAUAAAUAAUGAGUUUUUGAAGCUGCAAAUGAUGCAAAAUGACUUAAGAUAAGAUAUACUUUAUUGUCCCGGAAAGAAAUGCAGGUAGACUGUAUCGUAUGUUGACAUACAGUUACUUCAAAGUGUCCCUGACUGGCAUAAUUAAAGGUGAAAAUGAAUAUAACAGGUCUCUUAGGUUGUAUUAUUGUACUAUUUGUCUUUGUGUGAAUAUUGACAGAACCUAAACUCAUAACAACAGAUGUUUAAUCAAAGUUCCCAAGACUUUCAAAGUGGCCGCAGAUGCACUGUUUACUGACACAUAUCCAACUGCACUGGCUGUACUUCUUUGAAAACAUAUUCUGCCCUCCCACCUGAACAAAUGCCAAUGAACCACCCACAGUGACAGUGAUAAGGACAAAGAUUAUCACCGACAUGGAGCAGUGGUUUAGUGUAGAAAAAAAAAGGCAUUUAUAACGCUGAACAAAGCAAGUUAUCUGGAUCUGUGCUUCCAUAGCUGUGUUCAUUUGAAAAGUGGACAAAAACAGAAGGUGCAGUCAGUUGAAACAAGUGAGUGUAUCAGGACACACUGGGUCCAGAGUUGGACAAUCCCGUGAUCAGCAAAUUCACCAACAGGCAAGACAAGGACGGCACUCUGCUUCAUCAAAAUGACAUGUUGAUGUGUGAACAAGAAGAAAAUCCCUCUAUGUGGUGGAAAACCUCAGGCUCUGGGACGUACCUUCACACCAACUACAUUUCUCAGAGAUAUCUUCCUGAACCCUUUUAUGUUUGUUUUUACUCUGUUGAAAUUAAACUGAAUAAAAGGAGAUUGCACUUGCCGCCUCACAUGUGGACUGUCUGGUUUCAUUGGCAAAUAACCUGUAGGCCUCAGGCCUGACUAUGACUGGGAUAACAUUUAUUUCCUUUUCACAUGAUGGGGUUUUGUGGCCUCUUGUAUCAAGUAUAGAAGUACUUCUCUGGCACUUGAUCAUGAACUAUCCAUCGGGGUAAAGUGUCUGUAUAUUUUAUAGAAUAAAACAUUACACAGGAGUCUGUGACUGUACCUGAUGAAUAGGUGUAGGUUAAUGAACAAGCUAGAAACACAAGGUGCAGGGACGGCACUGUGGAUCCACUAUGUGUAGUUGACUCCUUCAUGUUGAGAGGAUGAUUCACAUUUAUAGCAGCGCAGCUCAGUUGAAGCACAGAAUAUCUAUCUUAUAUAUGUUCUGAGGAAAACUUCAUGAAGUACUCAAAGCACUCAGUUCUCACAAUGUGGUGGAGAGAGUGAUCGGAAAGCCCCUAUGGGUAUGUCUUAACAUUAACAUUUACAUUAAGUUGUGUGUGGCCGCCAAUCCAGUUUGAGGAGUUUAAGCUGCUGCUUUUCUGGACAAAGCUGGGCCCGUAAGAGAGGGGAACCAGUAAAGUGGUUCCACUUUUCCCUCAUGGGGUCAAACUCCAGCAUUUGAAGAAAUCUGCAGUGAACUAUGGAGUAAGUAAAGCUUGAAAAGACCCCAAUUUGAGAUGAAAAUUGACCAGUUGAUGGUGAGGUGGUCACAGGCAGUGGUUUCCUUGUUCCCCACAACUAUCAUUAUAAUAAUUAUAGUACAUUUUAUUCAUAUAGACGCAUUUCAAAACACCCAAGGACACCAUUCAAGACAAAGAUAAAAACAAACAGGCCAAAAAGAUGUAACAAUCAGCGCUACCUGAUAAGAUCAGCAACCACACCGGUAAGCUAGCCAGAACAGAAACACUGAAAACAACAGUCUGCUAAAUAGAAGGGAUGUCUCUACUCAAGGAGACAGUUAAACCAUAAUCCCUCGGACAGACCCCUAACUAAUUUUACUUUACUUUGUGCUUUCAGACACUUUCAUUAUUAAAAACACACAACAAAGCCAAUGAUUUUAAAGAGGACAGAGUUUGCUUAUCAGGGCAUUUCACAUCUGUGGAGGACUAACUGCAAAAUGCUGGGGUCUUUCUCGUGACCAGUCAGGACCUAAGAACCACGAGCAGGGCCCUUCUAAAAGACCUUGGUGCUGCAGUCAGGCACAUAAGGGGUUUGAAGCUCAACGACCAUAACCUGGCCAAUUCAGGCUUUAAAACCAAGCAGUUAAAUAUUAAAAUCAAUUUUAAAUCUCACAGGGAGCCAAUGAAGGGCAACGAAAAGUUGCGUUGUAAUGCCCGGCAGGAGCGUUUUGAAUUAAUUGAAGUUUUGGGGUGCACUGCAGUGCAGUGAAACAGCAAAUUCUAGAGGAAGGAAGGAAAAGAUCUGAUUUUAGUCUACUGGCUCAGUUGAAAGUCAAACUAAGUUCCAACUUAGAGUCAUCCAAGUCUUGAUUUUAGUCACACAUACCGUAGAAGAAACCAGUGCUGCAAGGUAGGAAAAGUAUAAACUAAUUUGAUGCAGAAACAUGACCGACUCUUGUGACUGCCAUUAGUAUUGAUGCAUUAACAUAACACAGACCAUUUCUAUUCGUAUAAAAUAAUAUCAGAAAAGCUAUUUCGGCUUCAUUGUCAUCUCCGUCUUGUUUUUUUUUUUCACACUGAGCAUCACUUCUGUCAUGCACAAGAGCCCUCCUCCUGCUGACAGGUUGAUCUGUGCUGGCAAGUAUCGAUGUGGCCCAAAGCCCAUCCUUAAGCCGCUCUCUGAGAUAGCGUCACGGGGGGAUGGAAGGGGUUGCGGGAGGAGUUGUGGUUGGAGGGCAGAUAAGCCAACGCUACACACUAGUGCUUUGUUUAUGAUGAAGUGGUCCAGGCAAUUACAUUAGAGGCACACGGGGAGCCCUUGUUUCUCUCCCCCCUUCACCCUACUCCCUGCGAGUCUUUGUCAGCCGGGCUCACACUUGCGAUGCCUCACGCGUCACCUCUGCUGAAAUGCAAGGAGGCACCUCUCAAACCUUAUCAGGCCGGCAGUCAAGGACGGGAACUUUUGUCCAGUGCACCUUUUGUAAUGACUCGCAUGGGUCGCUAAACGAUAGAGGGAGAUUUAUGAUGUGACAACCCAAGCACCUGCACACCACAUCCCUCCAUUGAGAGUACCAGUUCACUCUUUAUUGGAAGCCGUGAUUUAGAGGGAGUAAUUGACUGGAAAUGGACUAAUGCCGGUUAGAUGCUUUAUGGUCCAAGUGGCGGCUAACUGCUAAGGAUUCUUACUGGAUGGAGAUGAGGAAGAAGGAGGUAGAGAGGAAAGAUUUUUCAAAGACAGGGUGAUGCACCAAAAAGCUUGAACAGCUAAGUAAUUAAACGGUGAAUUGAGUCUUGCAGCCUUUUCUUUUUUUUCCCCCCCUUGCAAACUAGAUAAAUUGCAGUGAAACAAGUGAAAUUAUUUCAAGCCACUGGCACAUUUCAUCACUUCUACCAGAUAGAAAGAGAAAAAAAAAUGAUUUGAAGCUUCAAUAUCACAUUUAAUUACUUGUUAAAAUUGAGAUAUGCAAUAUGAUCACUCAAGAAUGUAAUCUCCCUACAGGAGCAUCUCUGACGUGAUAUUUUUAUUCCCUCUUUUUGCAAGAUUAAACAAGCACUGCUCAUCUUGAAAUCCUUAAUCAUAAACUCAUGUUUUAUCCUUUCAUUCUAUGUUUUCCCCCCUAAGAAACUACAUGAAGGGGACUUUCAUUACAUUAUAAAAGCAUGAAGUCAUUUUUCUUGCAGCAGACUGUCAGGCAGAUGUCAACAGUCUUAUUUUUGGCUUGCACGUCUGUGUUUAAAACUUCUCUCAGCUCAUUAAACGGUAACAAAUAAGGAUAUAAUUAGUCUUAUAAAAACCUCCUCCUCAUUAUGAGCCCCAGGAGAGGCAGCGCAGCACAGUAGGCAGUCACGACGACAAACUUACAGCAGGCCAGAUGGACAGAAUGGCUUAAUGCCGUCAUGUCAUGGGUCCAUAUGUUCUCCUGUGUGUGAUUUCUGUUAGUGUAGUUGUUUAGCAUUGAAAAGGCUCCUGAGAUUAUGUGGGCAGGCGGGAGGAGAGAGAGAAGGGAUGAAGGAGGUAGAGAGUGAGAGAAGGAGAUGCAGAGGAGUGCUGCUGCCCACAGGAAACUGGCUUUGACAUAUGUGGAAGCACAAAGCUCCUGUGGGGCGGUGGAGGGAGAGGAGUGGAGCUGAGAGACUCCUCGGAGCAGUGGGGAGAAGGGUGUGAUCAUUCUGUCAUGGAGUAUUACUGUCAUAAUGCAAAUACGCACACACACACACAUACACGCACAAACACGCACACGUACAGUGAAGAACGCACCGCAGCAAAAGUGUACAAACACGUACAAUGUUGAGAUCCUGAUGUAUAAUAAACUGUGGCAGCCUUCAAGCGCACACACACAAACACACACACACACCCUUAUAGCUAUACACACACACACACACACACCUGUACUCUGGUGACAGCAGCCCCCUAAGGUGGAGCCUUGUGAGGACUGCCAUUUUCUGCACCAGCACCUGUCACCUGGAUCAUGCACCAGAAGUGAAACAAGCAACCUCUACACAACUUUGUAUGGCUCUCUUUCUCUCUUUUUCUCCCCCUCCCUCUGCUGCUCUUUCCCUAUUAUGCCCAGGCGUGUCAAGGCAGCCAGCGAUGAUAAUUCAGCACCUAGAGACAAGCGCUUUGCUAGCAGAGGCAUGGAUGCCACAGUUUCCAAAUAAGGCACUCAGAACAGGCUUGGCCCUGGCUGUGCAGGUAAAAAAAUAUCUUCAUUCUGACAAGGAAGAAAAAUCUUGAAUUUAGGCAAAUGUGCGAAUUUGGUCUCAUGCUGGAUGAAAAAAGAGAAACCAGGAAAACAACACAUUAGACAGCUACAUGAGAUACUCCCAUAGACUGUAUAUAGAAUGGACGCCGUCUGCCUCCUCGCUGGGUAAAGCCACUCUGAGACUAGCGCACUCUGGUGACGGCUGCAGUAUAGGUCAUAAAUCCCGCAAUCCCUAUGGAGCUCUGGACAAACUUUAGAAAUUUAUUACACAGAAUAUACAUUUUUCUCCCCCCUGAUUGCGAUGUCGGCAUGUAGUUACUGUAAGACUGGUUUGUGCUCAAGUCCUCUUUUCUUUGAUUGACGCUUGAUACAGCCUAUGGGCGUACGAAGAUUGCGUAGCUCACCUGGGGGAUACGCUGUUUGAGCUGAGCGUCAUCACAGCAACUCUCCCACCGAAUGCGUACAAUGCUACAGUGCAAGUAGUGGAUUGCGUACAACGCUACUACACAAUGUUGGUUUCAGGAAGAGGAGAAAAAUUGCAGAAAUAACGAGAGCUUUUCGGCUUUCAAUCCAUAUACUAGCGGUAGACGGAACCAAGUUGUCCAUCGUGUAUAGUCUAUGGAUUCUCCUGACAAAACCGAGUCUGCAUUCCUAAAUGGUAAAAUUUGUUCGGUCUGACCUGCCAAUUACCAUUUGUCAACAUUUUGACAUGUUAACUUGGCUAUUGUCUAUCUAGUGGACAUAUUCUGGUCUUGAGUAGUAAAAGCAAUGCAGGUGUGAAAAAUUGCACUUUCUUAAAUGUCCAUUUGAAACUAGCUAGGUAAGCCAAGGCUAUCCCACUACCACCAAUGGUAAAACCAAGUUGCAAUCUCUGGUCUUGAGAAAUGAGCUGAUGUGAAACUGUGAAAUAACUGCAGAUCCCCCAAGUGAAAAAGCCACGAUAAACAGGUUUACAGCCUAGUUUGAAAAGCAGUAAUGGUCUGAGUAGCUUAGGACUCCCACAGCAGUGAUUUUUUUAAUUUUUACUUAAUUUUUUUAUUGCUUUGAAGAGUGCGUCAGGUUUCGUGCAGUUAGACAUUAAGUGUGGCGGACUUGACAGACAGGUACAUGUGUUAUACCCAGAGUUUCCACACAUGGCAACUACAGUAAUUUGGCUUCAUAAUUCCUUCUCAGAAACCAGUGGGUGACCUCACUAAGCCUACGUCCGUGUUUUAUCCGGUCUAUGGCUUUUAUCCAAUUUUAUCCCUGCUAAAACGCAGGUGAGUCAUCCCUUGAAGGCCAAAGUAAAAGUGUGAGAAGAAUAAGCAAAAGUGUUGUAACUGCUAGAUUCCUAAUUGUAUUCUCUUGCAUGACUCAUGACUGAGUAAAGGCUCGGCAUGGGCUUCACUUUACUGACAAUAAAUAAAGCCAUCUUGGUGUGAAUGUGCAUCGAGGAAGAGGCUUCUUAGCAUUAGCUGGACGUAGAAUGGGAUUAACAAGACAUAUGUGAUGGCGUGUUUGUGUGAGUAAAAAUCCAGAAAGUGCUUCCCAAAGCACAGAUGGGAGCAUUAGCACACAGUGGGAGCUGAUGUCUUUUUAUUUUUUCACAGCCAUGAUCUUCAUGGGAGGCUUUGAUACACUUAUUUGAGAUGCAGAUUUGUUUGCAGUCCUCACAAGUAAGAAAUUGUAAUUGCAGGGGAAAUUGCUGCAGAUGGAUUUGCAAUUUUUUUUUGUUUGUAUCCACUCCAAAUUAGAGGAGAGAAUGAUGACUGCAGCGAGACGCCCUGCUGUCCAUUUUGAAAGGUCACAAGUCGAACAGAGAAAUCUUUAGCACUGCUGUGACAGCACUGGGCACCUACUCCUUCAUUUUUGUCUCUUUCUCUCCCACUGUGUUACAAUUCUCUCCCUCCAUGCGGCUUUCCAUCCAUCAGUUUCCUCUCUUGAGAAACAUCCAAAGCUGUAAUCUCUUAAUUUCCAUCCCCGGAUCAACUAUCGAUCAGUCCUCUCCAUAGGCCUCUGUCUAUCUUCGACUCCCCCUGUUUUUCCUCUGCGUCUGUUUAUUGCUCUUCAUGCAUCAUUCCUCAUCAUCCUCUUCCUGCUGCCAGCACCUCCCCUUCAUUGUCAUCUUUUCCUCCACUCAACACCUCCCCUGCUGCUGCUUCUUCCUCCCUCUGGUUCACUCCUCCUCCUAUCUUUUGUGCAUCUUUUACUCCCCCUAUGCACAUCUGCCAUCUCUCCCUCUCUUUUCCUUUUAGCUGCAUCAAUCUAUCACUUUUUUUUGUUGUUUGUGUGGCUCCAAUCACAUUUAAAACUUAAGCAUAAUUAGUGGCCAAAAAUGCCAAACACUUUCUGAGAGAUGGUCCCCUCCCAAGAGAGUAAGAAAAAACUUUGUCACAUCAGUAAGUAAAUCUCUAUCUCUCCGCACCUCUAUCUGUCUGCAGUUGGUUUUUAUGUGUCCAGUAAUAGCAGGACUUCAAGCUGUGAUGGAGUGCCAAGACGAAGCCUCCAUCAUCAUGAUUAUUAUUCAUGAUUUCAACGCAUAAAACAAGUCCUUUGUGAAGUAAACAGGACAUGCCCAUGGUAAAGAGAAACCUUGGCCUCUCUGCUAUAAAUUCCUUGGCAUUUUAUUAGGAUGCCCUUUUUUUCCAGCUUUGUGAGGGAAAGUAAACUGAUGGAAUAUGUGAUGAAGCAAGAGGAGAUAACAGAAGACAGAGCAGGAUUUGUCUGGAAAUAUGGUGAUAAAGCCUUAGAAAGGUUGUUCGGCAAUGACCAUUUUUGAUUUAAAGGUGCCGAUACUACUCUCCUUUUCAGCAGGUUCACAGAGGUCUCAGAACAGUCACUUUUAAGUUUGUUGUCUAAAAACCAAUUUUUUUUCCUGGACUUCAGCCAGCCUGAAAACUCUCUCCAGUGAGUUCUACCGAGAAACCGCUGUUUCUGUGUGUUGCGCCUGUUCAUGCCUCCCUCAGCGCAAGCCAUGCCCCUCCCUGUCUCUCUGGAAGAGGGGGUCAUGGCUUGCAGUACAGUACCAUACGCUAAUGUUUACACACAGUGCUAGUGAUAGUGCUAGCGCUAGCCGUGCCAGUUUGAUCCAGAGUCUGACCCAGAAGGAGAGGCUCCUGAAGAAAUGUUUCUGAAUGGUUAGUUAAAAAUGUUAUGUGUCUCAAUUUUUUAUUUAUUUAUUUAUUUUUACUUUGUACGUGUGUCGGUACACAGUGACUUACAUGUAGCUAGGUAACAUUAGCUCCUGCUAACAGUUAUAUCUCCACUGUCUUCUCGUUACUUGGAGCUCUUUUGGUGAAAGCGCAAUAUUUCAAGUAUAGUAUCUCUAUGUUCUUGCAGUCUUCUAUUAUAAAUUUUGCAUAAUAUGGGACCUUUAAAACAAUAAGGGGUAAAAAAAGUGUCCCGAGACAAGACUUUUGCUCUCUUUCUGACUUGCUGUUACAUCAUUCGUUUUCAUGCAUGUUUAGAUGGUAACAAGACAAUGAGAGCUACUGCAAAAUGAGAGGGAAAAAAACUGAACUGAGGAAAGAGGGAAAAAAAGAGUUGGAGGGAUAACAGGAGGGUUGAAAUCAAAUGCUACAGAUAUUGACAAAAAACAAGCCCAGACACUAGCAGUCAGAAAUAUCGAGCGACUCAUUAGAUGAACUACAUCCAGCAGCAACGAGUGAUUUUCCUCCACACUUCCUCUCAGAUAUGUUGCACGAAGGCACCAGAAGAAGUGAACUAUUAGAACACAUGAUGAAGGUCGACUCGGUGGCACGCCACACAGAUAGAUUCAACCCUGGUGUAUUUUCUCGAACCAAAUGAAAAGGGAUGACUUUGUGGGCGAGGUGCUAACAAGCUGUUCAAUAAUACGAGGACAGUAUCUUUCAUUUAGUUCAAGCCACCAUGGCCUUUAAGGUGCAUUCCCAGCUGGGCUGAGGAGCGUUUAGAAAACAAAGACGGGAAGACGAAAGAGAAUAUUGACGAUGUGUCUGAGGAAGAGGCACGGAUACACUGCGAAAUCUCUGCCCAAUCCACUCGUCUCCGGGUAUCAAUAGCAAAAAGGUCCUCAGGGACCCCCACUUAGAUCAGACUCUGCUUUGGAUGCAGUUACCACACUGCAGGGCUUGGAACAAUUUGUACUACAAUGUAUGACAGCUUACAUGGAAUCAAUGAGGACAGCAUGAAAAAUUAAUAAAUAGCCGUUCAGCCUUUGUCCCUCUUCAUGGUUGUGGAGUGUAAAUUAGACUGCGUAUAAACUCAUGUGUCAUGCAUUUGCUUUUAUGAACCAUCACAUCUUUGGUCAGUUACUCAUAAAAAAGAAUAGUCACUGUUUUAGAGCUUAGUGCACAAGCCCUGGUCUCUUUUUUACUGCCACAAUACUGAACAUCCAGGGUAUCUGAUAAGCAUCCCUUAUACCUCAGAAUGGACCCAACCAGACUAGCGUAUGUGAAUCUGGCCCUGUUGAGAAUGUAAAGGAGGCAUGUCGUUGUUAAGGCAUGUAAUGGUAAACAUAUUUUGCAAUUAAUUCAGAAAGUUUAACCUGUUACUCACUUAAAAACACACUUUGUUACUGCAGAUGUAAAUAACAUGAUAUCAAACUUAAAACCAUAAAACCUGGUAAUCCUCCCAUGGUCCAGUGAGUCACACAUCAGAAGGUAUCACACAUAGAAGGACAAUUAUCAAUUAUUGAUAAUCCGCUCCAUGCUCCAUAUAUACGGCUGAGUGGAGCGGAUUGUGUUUACAGAGAGGCUUGUUCGGUAUGCACAGGCGCUCGGUAGUACGUAAGAGGCACGUAGUGACGUAUGCAGAGCACGCCCAAACGAAAACAAACAUGGCGAACAAACAGAAAAACUGGACGGUGGAGUGUUAAAGUGUGUUGUUUCGUGCUACUGACGAAGCGUACACUUCUUGCUGUGUAACCCGGCUGGAUUAUACUUUUAUUAAACUUCAACACAUAGGGUUCCUUACUCUGCUCGGUCUGGUAACUCCAGCGGUGUCACACACAAACACGUCCGUGCGCAACUCUAAAACAGAACUAAAACAAUGGUUCCUAUUAACAAUCCCCAUUGAUACAAUACAAUACAAUUGGAUUCAGCUGGGGCCAUGAAAACGCGGACUGAACGUGGAUCUCUUUACUUAAGGUUCAUGUAUACAGAUGGAAUCAGAUUCACUUAAUCCGAUUGAUUUCAAUCAGAUUGAGGAAAACUAACCAUGUAAACGGGGCCACUGACACAGGACAUUUAAGGGUUAAAGAUAUGGGGGGGGGGGGGGGGGGGGGUUCCAGCUAAAAAAGUGUGAGGAGCUGAUCAGGGCAGAGAGGAUUAAAUAGUCAGUGUCAUGUGGGUGUGUGAGAGGGAGAGGAGAAGGACAGUCAAUGCUGUAGAUCUCUCUGACGCUCUCAGCUGUAUUACAAUGCAGGAUCUGGGAGGGAAGAAUAAAAAACCGAUUUACACCACAUGAACAUGAACAAACCCGCCAUUGUGCGUAUAAUUGAGUGUGUCUAUGAGUGUCUAUGUGUGGUUUUAAGGAGAAAAGCGAAAAGGGGAUAAGGGGAAAAAGGCUCUGAAAUAGACAUGUCUAAAAGCUUUGAAGGCCUUGGUGAGCAGCUGUGUAACUUCAGGGCCUCAUAUUAAUCUGAGGAUAUUCUGGUAACUGUUCCCAGUAUUAAUCAGAGUUUCCUGUGGCUAAUGCAAUGCAUCACCAUCUGUAAUAGAGAAAAGAGAGCGGAAGAGAGAAAGACAGAUGUCAUUGCAGCAGGCCUUACCACCUCACCUCAUUAACUACUUGUUUUUCUAAUGGAUAAAUAAAUGACACUUAUUUAAUGACCCCACCAUUUAACCUAUUUUCAUGUGAUGACCUUAACCAUCUGUAUCUGAGAGAAAAUCUGUUAAUACUUAAGUCAACAUUGACUAAUCUAAUAUUGAUAUAUAAGUGGGCAAAUGUUUGUGGCCUUGAACUGAAAUGAUACGAUUUUUAUUCAUCCAUCUGGUAAAUAAACUGAUAAGAAUACUUGAAUUUGUCAGCAAACAUCAAAUCAGAGGCAUUUCCUGCCAGCAGUCCAUGAAAAAGUUACAAGCCACCACAAGCAUUUUUGACCAAAUCUAGUAAAUUGUCUAGCUCUCAAAAUAUUUUUGUCUAUUUGAAUAAUAAAGGCAUCAAAGGAGAGUGCAAGGCUUCAAUUUUCAUAACAGGACAGCCAUUUUGUUCUAACUUGCUCCAGUCAUUUUCUAUCAGUAUUCAAAAGUUGAUUGUUUUCCUCAAAAUUAUAACAUUUUUUUCAGGCAAAAAUGUAUUAUUUCUAAUAAUAAUGGUAAUUAUAAUAUUUUUGUAAUUUCAGAGCAUAAAUUGGUAGGAUUUUUACAUUUUUGUACUUGGGCUUGUACUCUGAUAUGAUAACAUUGACUGCAUGACUGCAUUAAACUCUUAUUAGAUCUCUGUCAUCUCUGUGUGUGGACUCAGGUUCACUGCAGGAAGUCUGUAUGUGCCUUGUGUCGUCAUACAAAUAAACACACUACAGGCCUACUGUUCUCACACUCUGUAAGUUAUAAUGACCUUAGUUCUAUUUUCCUUUAGUUUCUGUCUAUGAACAGGGCUUCAUGUGUUUCUUCUGUUCUAGUUUAGGGAAUUUAAAGCAUAUAAUACUGGUGUUUUGAACACAGCAUACAUUAUGUUGUUAUAUCAAUAAAUAAAUACCAGCAGAGCCCUCUGCUUCAUUUCGUAUGAACAAUCGCAGAAGUAUCAAUAGACUAAGGUGCAGUCCCCAUUAAAACACAUGGCCUGAGUCAGAUUUUUUGGUUGAAUCAGCAGUAUUUCCCCCUCUUCUGUUCCCACCUGCACCUGCCUCCUCCUCAUUACCAGUGGAGCCUCUUUGCUUGUUGAUGGAGUCAGGAGUGCUUUACUGCUCACACAGUACCACUGAUUAUAACAGGGUCCAAUAUCUGGUCAAAGGCAGAGGUUGAGCUGUAUCAUUUCAUGUUGUGUCUUAAUGCUUACUUGUUUAAUUCUUUAGUUGGAUGUCAUGUCAUAAUUUGAAGAAUGUAAAGUGAGCAGGUGAUUAUGCAGAUUUGAAACCCUUUGAUUGAGGUGAUUAAAGCUGGCUUUGCUUUAUAAUUAAAAUAGCCCAGCCUCUGCCAAAAAUGUGAGACAUUGAAAUAGCCAUUGAUAAAUUACUGAGCUCUGCCCCACAUUCAAACUGUCCAAUAUUUCCAAUUUUGUCUCCAUGGAAGAUUAUCUUUGCCCAUUUUCACCAAAGCUGUCAAUGUCUGUGUCCGAUGAUUGAGGCAGAUGGUGGGAAUGGGAAUGGGAAUGGGAGUGUGUGUAUGCGGGUGCAUGUCUGUGACUUUAUGAUUCCCUUUGAUCACAUGAGUCUUGACCACCUCACGGACCCAUAAAAGGGUUCACAUUGGCCAUAAAACAUGACUCUGAUUUGUUGGCUUAGAAUGAUCACAAAGGGGCCAUUACAGAGUGCGAGUUGAGGGUCAUGAGGCUGUCUUUGCUUGUCGAGCUACACCACGAGUGCGAAAAGCUGAACAAUGCUGUUUUAUUUUGGUUCUUGUCAGCGGAUCAGACUGAAGGAUCAAAAUCAAUGUGCAAGUCUGUCUUUUAGCACUUCCCACUUUUCUACUCUACUUGUCACAUUUAGCUGUAAGCCAUUUGUUCCCACUGAAGAUGUAAAUCUCACAAAUAUGUCAGAAAUAUCACUCAAACUGCAGUGCAUUUCCUGAGGAAUACUUUCAGCCGUGGAGUUGGUACACUCAUGAGUAUUUAUGCUGCCGUGAUUCUCUCAAAAUAAACUACAGCGCUCAUAUUCACUGUAAUGAAGGAACAUGUCAGCCAGUGCAACACCGUGGAUAAUUGAUGUGUUUUUUGGACAACAAUGGAGCUCUAUGGCACCAAAGAGGAAGCUAAAUUAAGCUCUGGCAACACAGACAGUGCAUAUUUAGUCUUCUAGAGAAACUUCCCCAAAGUUAUCCUCAUAUGACAUAAUUAGCUUUCCUUUAUUUUAAACUAUGAUCUCACAGAGCGUCUGAUUUCAAGUCUGUUUUCUUUCACAAGUUGGCCUUUUAGGUAACACUUUUACCAGUUUAUUUCAGAUCACUUCGCUGAGUGAAGCUAUGAGUAUGACCGGUGACGAAAUUCCCAGUGUGAGCAUGUACUAAGACAAACUGUGCUGGUGAUGAAGCAGUGCACUUUUUUUUUUAAACUUGUUUUAUCUUUUAUAUUUAUAUUUAUCCAGCUCUGACUCUUGUACACCACCACCGCCUCCCUCUUCAUUUUGCCCUUAGUUGUCGCCUUCAGAGGAGAAACUAAUUUGCUCUAGUGUGUUAUACACUCAGUAUAAUUACAUGUUGUUCAAAAAUUUGAUUGUUGACAAGGGUCCAACUGAAGCUAGACUGAAAUGACAUCAAAUCAAAUUUCUCAUAGUUGGGCUAAUAUACUUAGAUCAUGCAUUUGGUGAUAGAUUUUCUCUGACGUUUGAAUUCUUCCAUUGAAGUUGACCUGAGCAAGAGUUCCAACACAGGGCCUUGACUCAGCACAAGGUAGACAGCAGGGUAGUUAACGAAACCUCGACAGAAGAAGAAGAAAAUGAACAGGAAUAAAAAUAAAAAUAAAUUAAUAAUAAUAAUAAUCAUAAUAAUAAUAAUAAGAAGAAGAAGAAGAAGAAAAAGAAGGAGAAAAAAAGAAGUAAAGUUUAUUUAUAAAGCACCUUUAAGAAGAAAGCAGUUGAUCAAAGUGCUAUACAUAGGAUAAAUAAAUAAAUAAAAAAUGAAAAAGAUGAAAAGAUGUAGUUGUAGUAGUAAUAGUAGAAGAAGAAGAAGAAGAAGAAGGAGGAGGAGGAGGAGGAGGAAAAGGACGAGGAGGAAAUAGACUUAAGUCAAGUUUAUUUCUAAAGCACCUUUAAAAAGACAGCAGUCGAUCAAGUGCUGUAUAGAAGAAUAUUGGUUUCCAAUAACUUUUAAGGAGUAUUUUGGUUUCAAAUAUACAUUCCUGGGCCAGUAUAAGUGAGAGCCUGCCGUUGCUUUGCAAGUUUUUGCUACAGUGAACUUGUAGAGUUUGCUGUGUUGGUACCUUUUGCCGGUACUUUAUCCUGCAGACUUCUCUGUGGGUUAUUAAACCAAGAAACACUCCAUGAGGUCAGUGCUCUAGUUUCAUUGCAUUAUCGCACUGAUUUCUUUGCAUUAUUUAGCAGGAGCUUUCUCUUGCACUUACAUCACUUUCUAAACUUUUUUCAUAGCUGCUGUACUUUUUAUAUUUUACCUUUAAAAUGUAAAGACAAGCUAACAAGGCCUCUGAAGUUCACUGUCGCUUAUGGCUCCCUGUAGCGGUUAUGUGACCCUUGCCCACAUGAGCAGUCCCUCUAGGGUCUCUAUUCUCUGUGCUUUCUCUUCUCAGCACGGCUCUAUCCUGAGGCAAAGCAUGUGUGUUACCAUGGGUGGUGGUGUGUGCUAUUAACAGCGUUGGAGCUUUGGAGAGGGGUCACCAGUGAAACACACAGGGUCGUGUUAGACUGUUCAUGCAUUAGGCUGUGGCCGGAUGUGCUCCCUUUAUGUGUGUGGCCUUUCUAUGGGGUGACUAGGUUUCUGAGAAGCAUGGAAAAGACAAGUGACAGGGUGAGACUGAGGAGAAAAGAGGGUUAUGUGCCAGGCAGAGCAUAUAUGUGUGGGGAGGGGAUGAACAUGUUUGCAUUUGAUGUGUGAUAUACGGAGCGAGGAUGGGUGAGGCGAGGUGAUCCGUACCAGGUGUCACGUCAUCUGUGAUAAAGGAGGGAAGAGAGAUCAGUGAGUUUUCAGUCUCUCCACCCUGGGGAAAGCCGGGUGUAUUAAUAUCCACAGAGGCAGCCCGCAGACAUGGCACGAAUACAAGACUCCAGAGUUGCAGAUAAUAAUUUAGGCAACCUGGGUGGAAGCUUUAAGUUAUCUGUUACCUACCAGCCUCCACACUGACAGGAAAUGCUUUCUUACAACUUGAGGGCAUACAAUAUAGAUGUGGAGAUGAAGUGACUCUCCGUCCUCUCUCUCUCUCUCUCUCCCCUUCCUUAGAAAAAUAUUCUGCAUUUCCCUUGCAGCAGACUAGCUCGGUCCCGGGUGUAUCUUGAAAUUUUAGCAAACACAUAUUUCAUGGAUGUGGAGGUUGCUUCGUUUUUUAUUCACAGGGUUUCACAGUUCAUAAAUGUUUUGACUGAGAGGAUUUAUCAAAAGUGUUCUCGACCGAAAGGGUCAACUUGAUUCAUACCGGAGUUUAAUGCUCAUAAGUCAUUGUGAUAAGGAACCUCAGGCAUCAUGGAAGAGUCUUAUAUCCUCUGUGAAAGAAUAGGUCAGUCUAGGCUUUUACCCAGACAAGAAUGACCACUUUGCAAACGGCCACUCUGGUUGGACAUGAAACAAACGUGUUCGGUCAAUACAGCUUUCCACUAUUGCAAAGAAUGACUCAAGUCAAAAAACAUUGUUUUCUUUAGGGCUGCAGCUAUCAAAUAUUUCAGUAAUCAAGUGUUCUACCAAAUAUUUCAUCGAUUACUCGAGUAAUUGGACCCAAACGGCAGACUCACAUACAGUGAGAUUACCUAUGUCAUAAAUCCAAGCUCCGCCCCCAAAGCCCCGUUAUGAAGGCCAGACUUUGGAGAAAUAGAAAAGACAAUCGCGGAACAAGCAUGUGUGUUAGCGGAUUGCAGUGCUCGUAAGGAAGCUAAUGAUGAUAUUAGCUUUCAUCAUGUCCCUAAAGACAUUAGUGUCCGAGAGCUGAAUAGCUCCUAUGUCACCUGCUUCUGCUACGACACCGGCAAUGUUAGGCUGGAAGCUAGCAUGAAGGUAAGUGCGUUGUGUCAACUUGAAAAUAAUCAGCGCUUAUAAACAAGUACUUCAGGCAGAGAAAAUUCCUCCAUCAUUUUUUUGUAAUCUAGGUACUCGAGGAAGCAUUUCAGCCCUAGUUUUCUUACAGUUUCUAUUCUCACAGCACAAAGGACUGGUUAAUUGAGAGUAGAAAACACUGUCAACAGACUGUUGUGUGGGCAGCAAAACAAAUGCCCACCCAGCAACGACUCAACUUUGGGGUUAGCUAGCUUGUUUCGUAGUUCAGUUACUUGAUCAAAAUCACCUGCUAGUUAGGAAGCUUUUUUCAUUAUAGGAGCUACUUGAGCUGCAUCUUUGCCCUCCAAAAAACUGACAAGAGCUGCAAAACAUACUUAAACCUUUAAUGGUAGGUAGCUUUUAAAGUCUCAGGCUGUAGUCGUGAUAGAUCUAAAUGGUCACUGAUUGGCAAGUUUUCCAUAACAUGAAGGUAAUCGCCAUUUCUCUGCCAAAUGUAGCAAUCAACCUUUGGGCUUGGAUGCAAAAAGCUGCCGAUUUUUGCCUACUUAAGAACUGCUUCUUCACCUGUUCAGAGUGACCUUUAUUUCUGAACAUCGCUGCAGACUUUUUCAAUAUCAGGGAUGUUAGAUACACCUCCAAUACUCAUGUAGGACCACAAGUUUUAAUCGGAGAGACAGGAGCUGAUUUUUGGAUUAUGUUACUUAUAUUUUAAUUUUGCGUGUUGUAAUAGUUAAUUAACUUUACUUAGAUGGAAUACAAUAGAAAAGAAUAAAACUUGAUUGAUCCCCCAAAGGAAAAAUUCAUAUUGUCACAGCAGCAACACAUACGACAGUACAUUCAGGAGGUAUCAUCAAAAUAAAUAGUUAUGACAACAAAUAACUAGUUCUGACAGUAAAAAAAGAUAAAAACCUAAAUAUUAAAGUGCUGCACCGUGCAACAUCCUGUGUGUGUGUGUGUGUGUGUGUGCGCGCGCGUGCGCUACACCUCAAUCAGGCCUGUUAAACAGUCUGAUGGCUGUGGGGAAAAAGGAGCGCCUGAACCUCUCUGUUCUGUACCUGGGGAGAGUAAGUCUUUAAUCAUCUGACUGCCAAAGUGCUUUCACUUUACAGGUUAUAUCGACCAUUUGCACCCCAUUCAAACACUGGAAAAAAUUCAAGUUUAGCAUCUUGCCGCAAGACUCUAACACACAAGGAUAUCAAACCACUGACCUUCCAACUAAGAACAAGUGGAAACGCUUACUAUAGAAGCUAAUGCAGAAAAGUGCAGUUUCUCAAGUGUCCACUUGAAGCAGACAACAAAAACCAAAGAAUCCUCAACUUUGGUCUUGUGUUUCACUUUUCCCCUGCCAGCAAAUUAAUUGGUAUAAUAAGGUGUGUUGGCAUGUUGACAGAGGGUGUUUCACAGGAGGCUUAAAGCCCACCUUAGUCAGCGUUACCAACAAGACAAUCACCACUGCUGAGCUUUAAAUCCACCUAUAUUUUCAGACACCAGUAUUUAAUGUCAUUGAGACCAUGCCUGUGUUUCAGACAGUCUAUGUGGCUAACUGAAACACCAAGAAGGUUGAAUAUUAUUAAACUGGAAAAUAUUGUACAUGCACUUUCUUAAAAAUUGCAAACAUUCCCUCUGCUGUUUGUCUGGACACAGCUAGUUUACAGAUUCAGUUAGCCUGCCCAGGUGAAAAGCUGUAUCCUACUGAGCAUGUGCAGUGAGGGAAGGGAUUUCUCUAGUGGCCCACUAUCUAACAAAUACUGUGCUGUGUGAGUGGAAACAUUCAGUCCUGUAAUGAGUGAGAUCAAUCACCCCACACUGUCUACAGACCCGCACUCAGCUGAAAUUAGCCAAGCUGAAACGCUCAAAGGAAAAGGAAUUGAACGGAGGUCCACUGAGGCACAGGAGUUAACCCAGCAACCACUACAUGAUGACGGACACUGCAAGAGAUUAGCCGGGACCAGAGCUUGACAUUAUGCUGCUUCCUGUGGGCAAUCCUCCUGCUGCUCUUGCUCAGCUUUUUUUCCCCCACUCUCUCUCCUUGUUUCUGUUUCUCUUGGUGCCCACUGCUGCUACAUAUAAACCCAACAAAUCUUACCCCUUGCUACCAUAGUUAGUCCCCCCACCCCCUUUUUCCCUCACCAUGCCUUUUUUCAUGAUGCACUCUCCUCCUUCUGCAGGGUUAUGUCUGCUCUCAUCGUGACCUUUUUUGUUUCGCUGGAGUCCUCUAACAAUAGCAUGACAAAUAGCAGAUAGGGAAGCCUGACGCAGAGGUUUGGGCCUGGUUAAAAUUACUUUCAUGUGGAAUUAUUUCAGCCAUCAAUCCAAAUUCCUCCCUGCAAAUACAAAUAGGCCUGUAUAUAUGCAGACGACGUAUUCACGAUGCCUCAUUAGGUUAUGCAAUAAAGAAUCAGGGGGUGGGAGUGUGUGUCUGGAUGUGUGUGCUUCUGUUUUUUUCUCUCCUUCCAUGACUCUGCUGUUUUUGUUUUUACAUGUAUUACAAUUGCCUUUGCAUUAAACAUUGACUACUAAUGUUGAGGAAUAUUUCAAAACUGAUAAAUUAAAUAGAUGUACGAGUCUUAAAAGUGUCAUUGUUACAUAGUCAACAUUUUCACCCCCUGUUGUGUACACAGAAAAUCUUAUUUGGUCUUGAAAUAAGAUGAAGUCAAGUGUUCGCUGCUAUCUUGAGGAUGCAGAAAGCAGCUGUGCCAUAGACCAGUAAACACCUGGUCAAAAGUCCAUGGCACAUAACUGUGCUGCUACUUUAAAGCUGCAUAAAUUCACAACAUGCUCGUACACGAAGGGAUGCACGGGAGAACCACUACUCGUGAGGAAAAAUCUGUGCAUUUGAAAGACCAACAGACCACCAGCAAUGAGAUUGACUAACUUUAAAUUGUAGUUUUUAAUGCCAGCCCCCUUUUUUUAAUGCCUGAAAACGAUGUAAGUGAUAUGUAUCAGCAAAGUGGCUGAAGCGAAAGUACUGUUUUCAAAUUUUCUACAUAAAAUAUUUAAAAAAUUGACACAUUUAUAAGGUUUUUAGUGAGAGGACACUCCUUAAGCAUGUCAAGGAACAGAAAAGCUGCAAAGGAGCUUAAAGUUAUUAUUUCGUAAUAACAGUAAAAUACCCUGCUGCUGUAAACAGGGAGUGCAUGGUGAGCCAAGUGGUCAACUGAUACUGUGUUAUUAACAGCCAAUGCUGAUAAUUGGAGAGUAGGUAAAGUCCAGUCAUCUGCUGGUCAAAUCAUGUAACAUCAAAACCACAUCAUUUUGAAAUUAUCGGCUAAAAUACAAGCAUUUUAUAAUUAACUACCACUAUUUCAUGCACACUUUGACAUUGCAUAGAUAGUAACUUCAGCCAGUUAAUUCAUAACACCAUAAAUCAGUUCAGUUAAUCAGUCUUAAAGUCCAACUCCUAUCAUUUUUUCCCCUAUUUUUUAAAGUGUUCUCGGUGGUCCUUAAAUUGUGAUUGUGACGUCUUAAGCCAAAAUUAUGUUACCUGUGUCAUUAUCAGGGGCUUUUCUUCUGCAGAGUUCUACUAGUGCAUUAACAACCUACUCUUUACGCUAGCUUGUAGCCUAACAUUGGCGGCCACCUCUGCCAAAGAGGCAUGCAGCAGAAGUGGCAGGUAACAUAGGAGCUAUUCAACUCUCUGACACUAAUGUUUUUGGGUGCAUGAUGAAAGUUAACAUCAUAAUUCACUCUCUUACAAGCAUUGUACUCCUCUAACACACACACUUGUUCUUGUCCUCUCUACCCACGAGUUGAUCACCGGGUGCAGUGGAUCAUUUCCUUGAAGUAAUAAUUAUCAUAAAAAUAAUUUUGUACUGCAAACGCAGUAGUUCUUCUACAGUAGCGUCUUGGUCUGAUUGUAUUUCCAUCAGGUAAUAAUCAUAUAAAUGUUCUUCCUUCAGCUGCGAAACUCCGCUGCACUCAGUGAUUGACUCAUCAGGGCUCCCCCACAAACAAGCGGUUGCUGGAGGAGAGUGGGUGAGUUGUGCUUGGUCCCUUUGCAAGAGAAACUAGGCAAAGCUAAAAAGAUGUUUGAUGGCUAGCACUAUGGCUGGGACCCUAUAUUAACUGCUGAUGAAGUUAGGUACUGUUUAGAGCAUUAUUUGUGGCUAUAGAGUACAAGCGGUCUGCAACAUUCAUCUCUCAAGGGGUUGCCUAACUCGGCAUGGCAGUGUGUUUGACCCUCACUUAAUUUUAUGCUGGAAUAUCCCUUUAACUCCAUUCAGUCUUCAUAGCUACAUCUGCACAGCACCACUCGAAGUCUGCUUUUACUUUGAGCAGUUAAUUUCUCGUGUUGUUUCAUUCUGACUACCUUUGCUUGUGUUGUACUUACUCCCAUAUGUACACUGCUUUGGACUAAAAAACAUCUACUGUAACAUGUCAUAUUGUUACAACUGCAAGACCAAUCAGGAAGCACAGAGGCUCGGCAUCAAGGCAGACCAAACAGGGCAUGAACUCUUGCAAAGUUUUGGAUGUUAAGUGAUGAUUAAAACCUAAGAUUGUGACAUAACCAGCUGGGUGGCACUACAAUGGUUAUGAGGAAUAAACCUGGAGUAAGACAGCGGUUUGUUUAUUUAUAGGAUCGGCGACGGCAGCAUUCCCCUGAUGCAAUCUUAGAAACAUGAAGAGAAUUUCCUUCCAGAGAGGCUGUUGCAGCGACUGGGGAAAACAGCAGCUUGCAGUGCAGGAAGUGAAUAGCUGGCAUAGCGACAGCGUGCAUGUAUUAUUUAGAGAGAGUAAGCCAUACACUUUGCAGAGAGGAUCAUUGUUAUGACUAUGGCGAAGUGACAUUUGACAUUUGCCAGUUGGAUGCGCAGAAGGUGAAUGGCUAAGCUUUCAGCUGAUAUGGGCAGGCAUAAGGAUCAGCUUUUGUCCUGUGGGCUGAGCUUGACUUCCUGGCCUGCCUGAACUAACACUUUUCUCUAUUAAGUGAAGACUGGGUCUGCUGAAUGUGGCAACAGGCCCCAACUUGACAGAGCACCAAUGGGGAAGGUCCUCACUUGAUAACCCCAGCCCUGCAUUUACUGCCCAUCUAUUCAUACUUCUUGACUUCUCACACCCGGUUAUACAAAAUACAGCCAGUUUUUGUUGGGUAAAGUGUAAAUAUAUUCAAAGUGUUUGAUUCCUCGAGGGAAUUAAAAAAACAAGUUAUGUACAGCUUUUUAUUCACACUAUGGUCGGACUGUCUCUGUGGCCGAUAACAAGGAGAGAUUAGAUCUGCUAAAGGUGGAGGUGCAGAGAGAAAGCUUUCCUUUACAAAAAUCCUUCUCAUCUCUUAUCAGAUGGGCAAAAAGGAGAGGCCAUAACGUUAUCAAGUAAAGACGCAAGCUAAGAGUGAUAUCACCUGGAUAAGGUCACAGAUAGGAGGGGGCAAGACUUCAUUGAAGGAGGAUCAAGCUGGAAAAGUACAACAGAAAUGACUCAUUUGAUCUACUGAUAUCUCUAGAAGACAACACCACUGACACUUUUCUUUUUGUUGGAAAAGUUCUGCAUGUUCCUCACAAACUUUCUCCUCAAGCUUUUAUUAUUUAUUUAUGUGUUAUUUGACAGCAACAGUGCUUGACAGUGUUUAUUCAUGUGAAUUAUGCUAGUUUGCAGAUUGAGUCCAUAAACCAUUUCGGUAAACAGUCAAGCAUUAGCAAUCCCACAAGCUGUUUACAUGGUACAGUACAGUGAUGCGUGUUGAGCCCGUGCAUACUGUUGAAUAAAUUCAAAGAUUACGAUGACAAGUGUUUGGCGAUGAUAGACACCAAUUGUAAGAAAGCGAAGAGAGCUAUAAGUAUACACAAGCAUGCAGCGAUGAUAUUAAUGAGUGUAUUCAAAGAUGGAUUUAAAUUGCUGGGGCAAGCUGACAGCAGAAGAGCUUGUCAUCUUGUCAAAAGCAUACACAAGCAACACAGACAAACAGCGUCACUCAACCAACCCCCCAAACCCGAGAUAACAAUUAAGUGAAUCAGACGGCGGUGGUAAUGCUGUCAGGCAAGCGAGGGGUUUCUGUAAUGCCGCUUAAUUAAUCUCUGCAAAUCAAAUCGAUGGUAAUUUCGCUGGCAAAGCCAUCGGAUUUGAGGCCUGAAAGUGUGACACGAUACCCAGCUUGUGAGCUGAAAGGGUUUGUCUUUCGCUGCAGUCAAACUGCUCUUCCAUCUGCUCAUACUGCGUCCAAAAGAAAGAGAACAGGGUAUAAAACAGCAGAGAGCAGGAAUCUUGGAAAAGGGGCAGCAAUUUAGAAUGUUCAAUAUAUUUAUUUGUACUUUUUCUAGGGGCUCAUAUUAUUCCUAUUUGCUGUCACCUGAAUCUAUGGAAUAGGACUAGGGCUGGGCGAUAUGGGAAAAAGUUAAUCACAGUAUAUUUUUUUCAGUUGUUAUCGAUAUAUAUAUAUCAGGAUAUAAAAAGGUAAAUUUAACAGUGCUUAUUGGUAGCAUGUCUUUUGCAGUACAAUAAGCUACUGCUAAUGUGAGGUCUUUGUGUCUCUUCGGCAUUUUGUCGUAAGGCAUUGUGCUGGAGAAAGCGGACUGAAUGGUCGGCUGUUUCGACUGCACACGCACCGUGGGCUCUUUGCUCUGCUCGGGGUUUGUAACCUUUUGCAUUGCGCAUGCUCUGCCGCGUGGCACUGCUUCAGGGAGUGAAAGGAUUUGAGGUAUUCCCCGACUUUGCGAGAACAUGUACUCAACAUAAUUUGCAGUGCACGUUACUCUGCUUCAUGUCUGACCUCAAAAAAACAAAAUACUUUCCAACCACCAACAUUUACUUGCCAGUGUUGUCGAUGAUGUCACCAUCUGUUAAGCCUUCAUCCGCAUUUCUGCCGAGGGUAGCACUCAUUUCCUUUUUUCUCACCGACUGUGCUGUCGGCUUAACGUGUUUAAGUGCUAUGGUUGGUAGCUGCAGCCUGCUACUAUGCAGCACAUGAUUGGUUCAGAGCGAAGUGGACCCGGAGCAACUCCCCUUUUCAUUGGCUGUUCAAAUAGUCUACCAAAACAUGGCAGAAUGCCGAGUAUUGAAAAGCAUAUCGACCAUGUUUUAUAUUGCUAUUGAGGUAAAUUAAUUUCGAUAUAUAUCUUUAUCAUUUUAUCAUCCAGCCCUAUAUAGGACUGCACCACAUAACUAUCAGUCCCAGCUGGUUAGCCUCUUAGCUGAACUGUUUGGACUCUAGGUGAUCAGGUGAAUCCAUGUCUUCUCUUCUAAAUGCUCUUGAAUAAACAUGGUCCAGGAUAAAUAGAAAUAUAUUUACAAAACAGAAGAAGGUGUGCAGAAUAAUCUGAUGAAAAUGAUUCUUUCAGAUAAUGAUGAUGAUGAUGAAAAACCUGGAUGAGGCUGGGAAUUGAUGAUAAAAUAAUAGCUAUGAAACUGCUUUGAUCAUUUUGAACGCUGGAAUAAAUUUACAAUUAGGCAUCUGGUACCAUGCCAGCUUUAUAAGAAGUAAAUCCUCACUAUCUUAUGCACACACAGGCGUACACACGAACACAGGAGAAAACUCAUAAUUACAGAUUUAAGAGUAAUGACAAACUGAGAUUUAUCAACAAUAAAACGAUGCUGGCGAAGGAAUUUAAGGGGGGGUAUCAUCUGUUAUGGACUGAAUAAAUUAAACGCCGCAUGAAAUUGUCAAGUUUUGAAACAAUACAAAGUAAUAACUCAUGACAGCACAUUAAAAGCAACCUAAACUAUUUUUAAUUGAGAUUUACAGGGUAAACAGAUAUUUGCUAAAAACCUACCCUGGUACCUCAUCUCUCUUUUUUGUCUUUAAUGCAUUCUGUACAGUGUGAUGUAGAACAGCUUUCACUGAGGGGAUGAAAAGCUAAUGUAUGCGCUGCAAAUGAAAAACGACCAAAGCUGACAUAAAAAUCAAUUACACCACAUCAGUAUGAGAGCUGCAGAAUCUUAAAAGGAUUCACCAACAAAAAAAAAAAAAAAAAAAGAGAGAGAGAGAGAGAAUAAGCCUGAUUGGGUACAUAUAACCUCUGGCUUCAUAAUUUUCAUUAUGCUCUUUUGAAGUCAGAAAGGGUGGCUAAAAAGAUUAAGGUACAACCUAUGUCAUCAUUAAAGAACUGCAGAGUCAUGAAUUAUCUGAAUCCCUGAGAAGAAAAUGUCCUUAGCAUCGCACAAGGUACAUCUGAAAAUGGAUCUUAAUAAUGAUAAUUAGCUUAAAAGCCACCCAGAAGCAUCAGGAUUAAAUACCAUCAGCACUGCAGAUAUGGUAAAACUAAGACUAUUAAUAUCAGGGCUGCCAAUACAACCCUCUGGGUAUAAUAUAUGUGCUUACACUGGAUUGUGGCUGACUGACACUUCUUAAUGGAUAAAACCAUCAUUGAUAUUACCUGUCACUCCUGUGUUUUCCCCCCAUAAUCACUGUAAGGUCUUUGCUCUUUGAAUUUUGCCUCCCUAGACCAAAAACAGAGCCCUAAAACUAACUUUUUACUGCAAAGGCAAUUUCAAAUCAGUCAGUAUGUUAACAUGCCGCUCAAAAAGAAAAAAAAAAAAGUCUAUUGCAAACUGGACUUUUGAAAUUACAUGUCGACAUGUUAGUCCAACUCAAAUUGUACACAGGCAACUCACUCAUAGUCAGACUAACAAAACCAUGAUAACUCAGCGGGAUUAAGUUCUCCUGUUAAACGCCUCAUGUGGGGCUGAGGCAUUAAACUGAACUGAAAAUUAACUUAACGGAAACUGACUAAAACUGGUCUCAGCAUUUUGCAUGUGAUCCGCAGUUUACAUGUCCUGCUUAGAAUAAGAGGAGCAGCAGGACAGUAGAAAUGCUUUGUUAGAAACCUGUUAGGCACCAAAACCUCAAAAGAAGAACAAAAUGUAACAUAACAUAAGCUCAGAAACUCUUUAAAUAGUCAUUUGUUUUAGUGGCGAUCAGAUAUUUUAAUGAACUUUUCAAGUUAUGGUCUGGAUCCAUGGCUGUUAAUUUUACGUGAUAUGAUUUUAAAUUUAUUUAUUUAUUUAUUUUUAGCUGCAUUUUUGUUAAUUUAUUGUCUAUGUUUUUAGAGCGGAUACAUUAACCCUGUGGCAAAGGAGUGUUCCUGUUGAGGAUUAAUAGUCUUUUCUAAACUAAUGUAACACCAUCGAUAUCAAAAUGAGCAGUAGUUCAUUGGUCAUUAUCAUUCUUAUCUAAUCAUUUUGCUGUGUUUUGUGCUCGCCUCUGAUUGGUCAAAUCCAUUUAACUAUGUUGAUUGAUUCUCAGUCGCAGAGGUGAUGCUAAGGACAAGCAGACACGUCACCACAAACAUCAUUAAAUCAAUCACAAUUGGACGCUAAACUAGUCUUAUUCACUGUAUUUCAUCUCUGCCAAAAAGUGUUAGUUCCUGCUAACACUUUUGAUCAUCACUGAGGAUAUUUUAACACUGGAUACAGUCCUGCAAUCCUGAUAAGUGCAUUGCAGAUCACUUGAACAUAAACUAUAUUAUUAAGUGUUUAAAAUGAUAACUUUUGCCUCAUAUUUAUUAAGAAGUUGUGUCCUUUAACUGUGUUUUUAUGCUAGAGCACCCAUCUCCUCGAAUCAUACUCAAGAAACCCUUGAUGAGACUCUUGGUCUUAGUUUUCUGGCAUCUCCGAGUGCUGCAGCCAUGUCAAUAUUUGGGUUCAACUGAUGGCAGGAAUAGUUUGGACCCAAAGACUGUUUCACUGUGUUCACCCUAAGAAAACCUGGGGGGUUGGAAACAGUCUGCAGGACACUGGAACAGAGGCUACUGUGAGCUCAAUGGUAACCAAUUUCAUCAUUUACACUUACACUUCUCCCUGCUGUGAGAUAUCAAAGUGUCUUCAGUAAUAAAAGUCCAAAUGGUCGAUAUCAUCUCUACUACACAACCCAGAUAAGAAUCAACUGACCUCAUGCUGGCAGUUAGUGUGUAGAUCGCCUGACCCUGUGGUGGUCAUGUUUUAAUUGGUAACAAGUAUCUUCAGAGGUCACAUGACUGUGUUAUCCCUGUGAUUAGGGGACAUUUGUAAGAUAGGAGGAGUGAUAUUUAAUGACUGUCAGAAUUAAAGAGGACAGAAGUCAGAUACAAAACCGAACAUGGAAUAGACUUUGAUGCUGUUGAAAGAGUGGUUGACUGAACAAGAACAUGUUAACUGACUCAAAUGUGCUUGUAAUGCAAAGAGGAAAAUACAUUAGAAAAAAAAAUAAUGAUAAUAAUAAAAAAAAGACUUUUGACUUCACCAUGAAUGAAAUAAUUAGGUGUUAUAAUAACUAGAAAUAGAGGGUGAUUUAUUCAAAUUAAGUUGGCUGUUGAGAAUACUAUACGACCACUUACUAUACACCACCAUUUACUCAGCAGAAAAAAGGACACAAAAACAAGCUCAACUCUGUUUGAUAGCAACGAAACCAAAAUGGUCGAACAUCUAAAGGUCACUAAUUAACACAUAUAUCCAUCACAUAACCUCAUCAAACCAAAGGGUGUGGAUUUCUGACACUUUUUCGUCAAUUAGAUGUAACUCAACAAAUGUGAGAUGUUCUUUAAUGACCGUUAAAGAUCUUGGCCUUUUGAUUUUAUACUUUCUGGACAUCUUGUCUUUCCAGUUUUAAGUCAAAGUUCUAUGCCAAGCUGCCUUAACUGUUUGGAUUGGAUCCAUAUUCAACCUAUUCUCUUAAGUUUGUAUUGCGAUGCAGUCUGAAGCUGGAAAAGUUAAGUAACAAAGGAAACAGCAUAUUGUGUAUCCUGUUGAUGUUAAGUGGUUAGGAAGUGUUAAGCAAUCACUCAAACCAAGAACAGUCUAUUCCCAUGAUGUCAAAUCCCUGUCUGUUGAUCUAGGUACGCCAAGAUCCCUGGGUGGCUUCCAUAUUUGCUCGCAGCAUCAGUUUGGCUUAGCAGUCAAAUUGGAGAAAAAUCAGGUUUGACUUUUCAAAACAAAGCAGUCAAAGCAGAUAAAGGGUCAUAUUUGAUGACACUUACUAAAACAAAGCUACUUAAAAUGUCAGAUUUUUUUGGGAUGUGCAAGAAAAAAUAAGGUAACACUAGAACUAAUAAAUUACUUCUGUGUGACCCUUAUCAUGAACGCACAGUUCAAAGAUUACUGUAGUUAGUUUUGCAUUAAGAUAUAAUGCUUUUUAUUCACUUUUCUUAAUAAUUUCUUUUUCUUUUUUUUUUUGAAAAUAAAAAUACAGUUGUCUGCAGAGCCAUACAUAUCAAAACAUCUUAGAAACACAAAAUCCACAGGUUUUUCCAAAUCUGGCGAUAGUUAUGGUUAUAACCUUAUAAAUUGGGGGAAUGCAAGUUGAUCAGAACAACUUACUCCAAUAUAAGAAUUGUUUCCCGUAAUGAAGGUGUUUCAAAACUAGCACAAGCUAUCCCCUCUUUGUGAUAGGUACGUUUCCCAUUUCUUCCACAGAACAUCACACUUUUCCUUCUGCAAUCUAAGACAGAAGGUCAAAUUUUCCAUACUUUAAAUGUUUUUUACUAUACCUGCCAAUUGACUGAUCGUGGGUGGAUCCCUACAGAGCCAUUGUCUUGUAAUGGCUUUUUUGCAUGCUGCCAUAAAUAUACUGAGGAAGUAUCUGUCUUUUUUUUAAGAUAUAAUGCAUUUUUAAUCAUACUGUCAUGAGGCAUUAUGUUCACUGCUUAUAACACUCCACAGACAUUGCAAUAAGUUAUAACUAACCCUUUAAUGGGGUUAGUAUAAAGGCUGAUGGAUUCAUUUCUAUAAAGGCUACAUUAUAAAUGUGCUUGUAAUGCAUUAUAAAGUAUAGGUUUAUAUGAAGCGUAACACCAACUUCCCGUGGUUAUAACUGAACACAACAUGCUUACAUUACAGCCAUUUGUUUGUACAUACAGUAACACGCUGUCAGGCUGAAAACACUUGGAGUGUAAAGUAUGAGGACAAAGACUGAUGGAGUGCACCGGGCAGUUAGAGCACUCUACAUGCUCAUGUUCGUAUUACAUUUAAUGUAUAGUGUAUGGUAUAGGUCACAGCUGUCGCAGAGCACAGUGUUCUUCAUGAGGUAAUGUUCAGCUUCUAAUGAAUUUUUUAUGUAAAACCUUGUAAGUGGAAAGAAUACAAGGAAAGGAAACAUGUGAGGGUAGAAUACGUAAUGUACAAAGCCCGAGUCUGUACCUACCAGAGCCUGAGGCCUGGGAAGAGCUCACAAGGUUCUUAAUCACAACAGAGGUUUUAAAAAGAGCUCUCAUACGUGUUUUUUUAUGUUUAGAUGCUUCAAUAGGAGGAGGAUACUCAGCAAGAAUAGGAGAGGGAAAAAACUCUCAAAGCAGAGAUCUGACCUUGUCCAGAUGUUGGCUGAAAUUUCCACAAGGACAGGUGGAUUUUCUCUUCUAUCAUGGUGCACUCUCACACUGGAGAGGAACAGCGCAGGUGACUGAAAGCAGUAAAACAUGGAGUACAGCAUUCCCCUGACAAGAAAAGCUUUUAUGCUUUAGUGCUUUUGCAAAAAUACACACAAUCCAUACAACACAGCAUUUACGGUGCUCCACUCCGAGGAUGUCGGCAUCAUUAGGCAGAGGGGUUCUGAUGCACAGACUGUAUGGACAAUCUGACAGCUCUUCAAGAGUGAAGCCAAAACACCUUAACUGCCUUUAAUAAAAGGCUGAGAUAAGGUCAAACAGAACCAGUCCUCAUCCAUGUCAACAAAUGAGACAACACAGUGGUUGAUAGCUCUGUUGACAAAUGAGUCUCUUUCAGCAAUUUGUUUAAGAGCUUUAAAGACAGUGCAUGACGACUGCGGGCAGGAAACAGUCGCCCCCAAUACAGUCGCCUAUGAUUAAAUCCUGGAAUGAAUUUGUUUGAAUUUUGUGGAAAAUUUUUAUACAAUCCAAAUGUGUUUUAUUUUUUAACAUUCAGUGAGCACACUCAAAUUAAUUAAUCCAUUAUCUUUCCUGCUUUUCCCCUUCAGGGUCAUGUGGGUGGUGGGUGGAGCCUAGUCCAGCUGUCUAUCAUAAAGCUGACUUAGAGAGACACACAACCAAUCAUGCUUCCACUCAUUGCCUAUGGCCAGUUUUAGAGUGUAUAGAAAGCCCGAGUGCCAGGAGAGAACUCAUCCAUGCACAGGGACAACAUGCAAACUCCUCACAGUUGCAUAAACUGAUUAAUUAUUUAAUUAGUUCAUGGACGAGUUAUCUUUUUUGUAGAAAGCAUGGUUGGAAAUGGAGAAUACAGUAACCCAGGGGUGUCAAAGUCAAAUGGAUGGAGGGCCAAAUAAAAAAUUUAGCUACAAGCCGAGGGCCGGACUGAUCGAAUGUUCAUUGAAAUUUUUUUAAAUGACGCAUAUAGUCUUGUGAACCUAAUUGAACCUACUGAAAACUUAACAAAUAUAUUCCAAUAUGAUCAGAUAAAUAAAGCAAUAUUUUCUUAUGGCUCUGUCAGUAAUCUUUAAUUUUCAACAGACACAAAAGACAAAUUUCCUUUAUAUAAAAAUCCCCAUAACAUGAACAUUAAAUGAAAGAAACCGGUAUUAUUCAAGGCACCAUCAGUAGCCUAUAUUUUCUAUUUUAGCAAAAGUGGGCUAAAUUUACUUCAAAGAAAAAAAUAAUAAUAGCAAUUUUCUACCAUCCACUCAACUGAAAUAUUUUUAAAAUAUCUUUUUAAUUCCUCGGCCUUCUGUAGCCUUUGUUCCAUGUCCAUAUUCUUGUUUUUGUCCGCGUGUUUCGUUUCAUAAUGUCGUCUCAGAUUAUACUCUUUCAGUACCGCCACACUUUCUCCACACAGAAGACACAGGUUUUCCAGCUACCUCCGUGAACAUAUACUCCGACUCCCACCUUGUUUCAAACCCCCGGUUCUCAGUGUCCACCUUCCGUUUUGCCAUUUUUGAUGGGUAUCUGAAAGUUAAUUUUACUGUUAUGCUGACGACUGCUGUGCUAAUAAAUAUUGAAAUGAAGCAGCCUACUGCUCGGUGCGUCACCGUUGCAUUGUGGGAAAUGUAGUAUUGGUGCGUGUAAAAGAUCUGCGGGCUGCCGGCUUGCUGCGGUCUGCGGGCCGGCUCUAAUAAUAAAUCAAGAUCAUCCCAGGGAUGUAAAAAACCUUCUCGCGGGCCGGAUGUGGCCCGCGGGCCUUGACUCUGACAUAUGUGCAGUAACCCAAGCUGUGUGCUUUUCAAAGUAAAAGUCCAGACCAGUCUGUCUGUGCAAGUUCUCAUUCAUCCAGGUCAUGGUUACCGUAUUCUUUGUUAAAAAGGCAACUAGACUUGUUUGAGGUUCUUGAAGACAAAAUCGUUGUUUUGAUUGUUGUCGAAAGGAAUUUAAAUGCUGUUAAAUGCUAAACAAGCCUAGAAGUUUUUUCAACAAUGAUUUGGAUAUCCAGACUGGUAUGUUUGUGGAGAGACUUCAUCUUUUUAAAAUAAGGUUUGGUAAAAUUUUGCAGAUGAAACAUUUGGUAAGACCUUGAAAUCAGUUUCUUACCGGCUAAAUAAAAGAGUUGAGACAGAGAAAAAAGUUAACUAAAAUAAUGAGAUUUUUGCAGACUAAAAAAAGACCUACAAUAUUUGAAUUUCUGUCAUGUAAACUACAGUAUGGCACAAGCCAAAAUUGGCCCUGUGUUAUAAUGAAUAAAUAGAAUAGAAUAGAAACCAUGACAGUGCACUGGCGCCACAAGCUGCUCACAUUGUGCUUCAGUUGUGUGCAGUGAUCUCUCUUUUACAGUAGCUAGAUGGACUGCCAACAAAGCAGGUCUGGACUGCAUGUCAAUGUAAACCCCAUUACUGGCUCCAAAACGUAACUCCCAUUGUCCGUCUUUAGAUGUCAGCUGACGGGUUCCAAGUUUGCUAACAGUGAUGUAGAAUGGAGAAGGAAAAGAAAGAGAAGACACAGGUAACACUCAGGAUGCAGUUAUUUUACUUUCCCAAAAGCUAUUGAACCCUGAGGGAAGAAAGGAAAAGGAAGAGCGUCAAUAAUCCAACAGCCCACUCUGGCACAUUUAGCUUCACUUUUGUACAAGAAAACACUGUCCUUAUUCCACACUCAGUAGUUUAAUGGGAAACAGGGAAGUAAGAGGAAUAUCCACUGUGAACGAACUUUAUUCAUGACCACCUCUUCAGUGUUUGAAGUGUUUGCCCUGAACAAAAAUGAAGUACAUGUCACCCGUGUGUUUUAAUCAAAAGCAUAGUUAGGGUGCUGUACAAACUGCCACUAUUACAUUAUAUUUGUUUCCCAUUGAGGUUUAAUUACUUGCGUGACGAACAAAUCCGUGCAGUUGACUUUUGAGCUCCCCCCACAAGUGGAGUGAGGAGAAAAGAAAUCUUUCACUCCACUCCACUUGAUAUAUCUUUUCAUCAAAUAGGACAUUAUUUUUCAGGCAUAAAACACUUAAUACAGUUUCAACACAGUAAUGACUUCAACCCUCAGGUGCAUAAGUGGUUAAAAAUGACUUGGUGUGGAGGUUUUCUUGCACUCUUCAUAGAAUCUCAAGAGAAUCUUUGUUUCUUAUCAACUUUAGCAGACAGGAAUAUAUUCAUUGUGGACCGACUAUUUUAAUUUAUUUAUUUAUUUUUCCCAUAAGUGUCACAUCUAAUGAAAAAACAUUAGAACCACGGGAGAUCUAAUACGUACGUGUUAUCUUCAAUCAAGAGUCCUCCCCACUCUCUUCAUUACUGAGCUCCUUCAGUACUGCUUGUUCUUGCCAAGUCUCGCUCUGUAUCAUCCUCUUAAGUCACUGGGGAACAACAGUCGCAUGCGCUAGUUCUUUCUUUAGAGCAAGUGUCACCGCAGCUACUUUAAGACAUUGGGUGUAAGAAUAUAAAGCAGCCAGGGCUCAUGUCAAAUUAAUCAGAAAAAAAAAUUAUAAAUAUGGGUAUCUUGUAAGAUACUUCAAAGAAAGACAAGAGCAGGAUAAGAAAGUUGCACUGUGCUGCAAAAAUAUAGUCCACUAUUAUCUUCUUGAUGUUUUAAAGCUCCUAUUCAGAGUUUUUUUACAUUUAAGAAAUAGACUUUUAAUUCAUAAUGAUGCUUUGCCAUUGUCAUAAUAUGUUACCUGGGGUUUUUACUGGAUGAAAACUUGUCUUUUAAAGAACAUAUUCAGCAUGUUGUUAGAAAGCUGAAAGUUUUAUUAGGCUUUUACUAUAGAAACAAGUCCUGUUUCUCUUUUACUGUUAAAAAGAGACUUGUGGAGUCUACAUUCUUACCUCAUCUUGAUUAAGGUGAUGUUUUAUACAUGAAUGCCUCUGCCCAGAGUCUGCAAAUGUUGGACAGUGUUUAUCAUGGAACUCUGAGAUUUAUAACAGAUUGUGGAUUUUUAACUCAUUGCUGUACUCUAUACUCCACAGUCAGUUGGACUUCUUUAAGUACUCGUCGACUUGGUCAUUAGUACAUUUUCAUUUACAAAGGCAUUCUUGAAAAAAAUGUAGACUACCUCUGCUCCUUAUUGAUAUUAAAGGACAGAUUACACAACCUGAAAUCAUUGAGAUUAUACAGUUUGUUGUCCCCAGAGUCAGAACUGUAAUGGGAAAGAAGGCGUUCAGGUUCUCUGCCCCCUUUGUGUGGAAUAAUCUGCAAACUGAAUUUAAGCUGCAAAACUUGGUGUCUUUGACUGUUUUUAAGUCUGCAGUUAAAAGGCUGGAGUACAAACUCUCAGAAUGUCUCUGUUUUAGCUGAUGUUUCCUCACAUUUUUGUUCUGUAUUGAGUCUGUGUGACUGUUUGUUGUAACUAUGUAUUGCUGCCAUUCUUUGUCAGGUCUCCCUUGCAAAUGAGAUCCUCAGAUCUCAGUGGGACAAACCUGGUUAAAUAAAGGUUAAAUAAAUGUUUAUGUACAAUAACUCUUCCAACAAGUUUAUCAAGGCCCUUUAAAACUCUGUUGAGGAGCUUUAAAUUUGUGUUGAUUUCGGUGCCCCCUGUGGACAAAGUGUUUUCUCUAAUGUGUUUGUUGGAUCUGUUCUGUACAUUUGUAAUCAUGCUGAAUUUCUAAACCAAAUAUAUCACUUAUAAGAGUUAUUUGCAGUGGAUAAUGAAAACAUGUCUCCGGCAUGGUGAAACUCACUGGCACCUACCCUCAGGCGGCAAUUUCAGACAUUAAAAAUAAUGGUACAAAAAUAAUCAAUAUGUAUGCUGAUAAUCUGGAUCGAUUUUGUGGCUCUUAAAGGGGUAACCCAUUAUGAUUCCAGUCUUUUCGAUUAACAGUAAAAAGCCCCCCGAGCUUUAAAAAUUAGCUUGGAAAAAGCAGCAUUUGAUUAAUAAAUAAGGUGAAAAACUGUUUAUUAGUCAUGAAAGAUGACUGCUCUACCUUAAAAGCUUGUUUACCUUGUCGAAAUUGAAUUUUAGAUGACACUCAGCUUGUGACAUUAAGUAAAAGUGGAACACAAACACUCAACUAAACACACACAUACAAAAAUGCAAUGACACCAUGGGAUCGAUGGCAUUUCCCUCUAUUAGCUGCUUAAUUAAGCCUCUGACUGAUGGCAUUUCAGAUCAAUGGAGGAAUUGGUGGAAAAAGACCCCUUACCUCAAUUAACAUGGGAGGGAUCAAUAACAGUAAGCUGGUCCCUGAAUGAUAAAUAAAGGGAGUAUGUGUGUGGUGGGGGGCAUGCUGGAUAAUUUAGCUCAAGUAUUUCAGCCAGGGAAGGUAGUUAGGGGAGAAGUGGGAGGGCAGGAAUGACAAGAUUGGGGAUAAUUGUGGUGAUGGGUCUCAACAACAGUGUUAACCUCUGACAGAGGCAGGGGCCUAGCUCGGAAGUGGCUAAGAGGCUUAGCGGCUAAUGCUGCAUUAGACCCAUGCACGAAAGCACUAUCUGGGCCCUCGCAUAUACACACACAGACGCGGAAGACAAGGCACACUCACACUGCUCACACAGGAAUUAUGCAGUCAUUCUGCGUUUUCUCAUUAAGACAUAUGAAAGGCUUCUAAAGACUCAUGGGAGAAUUCCAUUAGUGGUCUGUCAAGCCUAACUCUUUACUCAUGCUCACACCGAGUGCUAAGUGUGUUUGCAAUGGUUGUCACAGGACUAAAACACAUUUUAAAACCCAGCACGGUAAAGCCAGAUGGACAGGGAGCGAGAGGACGUCUGUGGAUCAUUGUUUUCAUGGGAAUAAAUCUUAGUUAACCACUAUAUAAGUAGAAAUGAUUUUAUUGCUGCAUUGCAUGAUUGAAAGGUGUGCAAAAUGUCCUUUGUAGGAAAACAGGCAAGCCACAGGUAGCCUAUUUCUUUGAAGCAUUAUUACACCGUAAAGCUUUAGCUCAGCGAUUACACUCAAUUACACUCUGCAUGCUAGUUGUUGGACUGAAAUAUAAAGCCCUCUGUCUGCAUGUUAAACUAACACAGCAAGAACACAUUUUAGUUAUUCUCAUAAAUGGUCUACAGGCAAGUCUUUUUCGUAGAAGUUGGUCGUUUUGCCUAUAACACUUUUCAAACUCCUCUCUUUGAUUCUUGUUCAAAUUUAUAACCACAAUUGUCAUUUUUGGCGUUUUUACUUUUUCUGUAUCAGUGAAACUGCAGCCAAAGUAUCAAACAAAUUGAAACUGUGCGCCAUAAAAUAAAAAAAGACAAUUUUUACAUUUUAUGAUCUAAUAUACCAUCUGGACCAAUUUUGGUUAAACUCUCCUUCCCACAAAAUGUCCAUAUGCACAACACAGGAUAUGGCACAAGCCUCGGUUUUCCAAAUGUAAGAUAAUAUGUCUACUCAUGUGGCUUAUCUGUUUUGCUCUUCCAGAACAGGCAAUAUGAAAUGAAAAAGCAAUGAUAUAUUAUUGCUGCCACUGUCGUACAUCUAAACAUAGGAUCUAUUGCCUUCUCAACAGUUUAUUGCUACAAAAGCCUCCAUAAACAAUGGUUUAUGAUGCUGUUUCCAGUCUAAAACAAUGGCAAAAGGAAACAAUAUAGAUGAUUAUAAUGCAGAUGUAGUUUAAACUAAAUGUCUCAGUACUUACAUUAUCUGCCCAUCUAUAUUCUUUGCAUGCUACCUCCAUAAAACAAGAACUUAAAUAAACAUACAUAAAAUACACAAACUUGGAGAAGAAUUAAAAGUCCUUUUUUGAGGUGUGUUUUGGCCCUAUUUGGUUUGAUAUAGAUGCCACAUACACUCAGGCACACAUAGCACUGUUCAGCCCUGCCUGCUCCAAGGCCUAGCUAAACUACCUUAUCAGUGGCUGGCAUGAUUGCAAACUCCACAUGAGGAAAUUAGAUUAAAAGAGCUCCGCAGGUGCACCAAAACAUCACAUUGUUGACUUAAAUGACUACGAUGGAAAUUGUUGAGCAAAAACGCACAUUAAAACCUUCUGCUCUCUGAGAUACCACCAAGAAUAGACUCUAUACCACAUACUGUAUGACUCAUAUUCCAGAUUUUACAGUACGAGCGCACAUAUGCUCCAGAGACAUUUUUGCUGCCAUUGCCGACUAAAGUGGUGAGUGAACACUGGAUUUAUAAGGAGAGUUAGCUGAUGUAGGGAAACCAAAUCAUAAGGUGCAAAAGAAAACAAAGCACGUUUGUAUCUCCAAAAGUUCUCAAUCCCCUGAACUGAGCUGCAAACUGCUCACAUUACGGUCUUUGUCUGACAACUGUCGGGACAGAACAAAGGGGGGGAUGUGACAGAGAACGGAUGGAUGGGGAGAGAGGAGGAGCUUUGAUUUUCAGAGUGUACAGAUGGCAUAACAAAACACAGAAGCAGGCAAGCAGAGAGGCUGAGGCUGAGAGACAGGACAAAAGAGUCAAUUAAUAAGGAAUUGUAGUCAAUGUGAAGCAAGCUGUUUAAAAACAGAAAAAAAACACAACGUAUUUAACUGAAGUAGAGCCCAGAUAUGACAGUUCACAGAGCAGCCCUUACCUCACACACUUGUUGUUAGGGCAUUAGCACGUUGGGAAAAGGUGUUAAUAGCUUGAAUUCCAUUAUGUCUGGAAUGAAACUGGAUAAAUUUUGGCUCAUUCUACUCUCCUGGGAUAAGAUUGAUAGAAAAUGAAACCAUGAUUCAUCAUGCAAUUGAGGCUGUGAGUAUUUCCUUAAUGUAGGGAAGAAAUAAACGUGGGCUAGGAUGAGCUGCUACCCAGAGUGAAAUAGAUCUAAAGUAUUCUCACAAAGUCUGCAAUGACCCGCACUUUAAUUACAGAGCAAUUUGAAGGUUGCAGCUACAUAUUUUGAUCCUGAUAUAAUAGGAAUGCUCUGCUGCCAGGAAUAACAAGAUUUAGUUGGGCUUUGAAUGGGGAGAGUCAAGGAUUUGCACCUCAGAGGAUGCACUUCGGCCUUUUUUUUUACUAAAAAGCAAUGUACAUGUAUGUGAGUGGUUUAGAUUCUCUGAGUAUAUCUAUAACUUUUUCUAACCAGUUAAAUGUUAUGUUGGGCCAUCUUUUCUUUUACAGAAGGAUGCCUUUUAUUUCUUCUCUUUUGAUUCACAAAUUUUGCCCGGAAACAGUGGCAACAAGAUGAUUGUUAAAAGACGACCUGCAGUAGUUUGUUGAACACACUUUCUGGUUUCUUAGUUUACAAAAGUCCUGACAAAUACUUGAUUAAAAGUAGGGCUCCUGUGUUAAUCUACUCCGAACUCUUGACUUUCAGGCAAUGUUUUCUCAUUAGAAACACAACAUUAUGGCAACUGCAGUCAUGGGACCUUCUGACAAUUGGUGCCCAUCCUGCAAUAUGCCUCUGCAAUGAAUGUCAACUCCUCUGUUUCAGUGCACCAAAGAGUUAGCAUAAUGAAGUAACUUUUAACCAUGACGCCAGUAGCCUAGAGGUCUAAAAAACCAACAUAUAGGGGCUAUAGUCCUUGUCAAAGCGGUUGCUAGUUUGAUUCCCAGCCAUGGGAAUCAAACAUGGGAAUCAUUCUUUGUUGUAUGUCUUCCCCCACCCUCUACUCCAAACAUGUCUUGUUUCUCUUCAGUUCACAUUCUUACUUGCUAAAAACGUGAACUGUGACCCGCUUGAAGCUGCUAAUUUCAGUCUCAAGCAGGUCUUGAAAGUCAGUAUAUAAUGACAUUUUUUCGAGAGCGGAUGUGAAAGCAGCCUGAAGGAUUACUAUCCAUCCACGUCAUCAUGCCUUGCCACUUGCUGGCUGUGUCCCAGGCUGAGGCGACAAUACCGGUAAACAAGUCGGAAAACAACCUACUGUUGUACCAUUCAGCCGCUGUCGGCUGUUGUUCGUAAUAGCAGUCGGACAUCAGUGUAGCUAUCAACAGCUAUAGCUUUGUUAGCUAGUUCAUCAUAACACUCGAUAUUUAAACGCAAACAAUUCAAAACAUAGCUAAUAAUUACGUGGAGUAGCAAAGGACUGAAUAUCUGAUAAAAAGUGUCAUUACUAUGAAAAUCAUACCAAAAUCUUACCCCUUUCUCUCAGUCCAUCCCCUUAACCUUAUGGGGAAUUGGGACACCGCUUGGCUUGACGUGAACGCGCAAAAACAAGAUCUAAGGGGAAUUGAUGUAGGUCAAUGUCAACUCAUCUUGCAGGAAUGCAAAUAAGGAUCUGUUACCAUGGAAAAGUUGAACCCCUAUUUGGAUUCUACUCCUCAAAACCACCUGCUCACUAUACGUUAUCCCAAACAUGGUUUGAACUCAUAAGGUUUAUCCCAUAAGCAUAUAUUUCACUCUGUAUUCUUGAAACAGUUGCAGUCUCCACAUCCAGUCAUAAAAUAUAUUCCUGUGAGUUAAAAAAAAUAAAAUGUCAAUAAUGUAAAGUUAAGGGUCAACAUUCAUGAUGCCUUAGGUUGGACUGACUUGCUUGUUUGAGGAGGAGGACGGGGCACAGUGUCAGAGCCUUAUUCAUGAAAAAAAGAAAAUGAAAAAAAAAAAAGCAUUUUGUAUAACACUAAAUUAUGCAGAAGAUAAAAUAAUGAUCUAUUUAAAAAGGAAUAUAAUCUAUGUGCAUAUAUUUAUUCUUGGUGCCUAUCCCAUCCCUGCAUGCUGCGUCUCUUUCUCUCUCUAUUUCCAAGUCUCCCUUCUCUACUACAUGCUACCUGCAGGUUAUGGAACAGCCAAUAUGCUGGCGGUUUAUUUUUUUGAGACACCUGAGUGAACAUAAGGCUCAAACAAACUAACCAUCUACAACGCUGACCUCCCUGUGAACUGUGCAGGAUGCCAACUCAUAAAUACACAGUUUACAACUGCACAGCAUAAUGUGCCUCCAGCAAAAAAGAACAUUCUCUUCCCGCAUCCACUUCACCAGCGCACACACUACUUAUUGAGCCAUCUAGUCGAUCUAUUUCCAGCACUCAUAUCUCACAGUGUUCCCAGUGUCUUCUGAAGAGUUAUGUCAGAGUUUGUCAAGAAUUUUUCAUCUAAUCACAGCUUGAAAUUCCCCCCCAAAAAAGAUGGUUUAAUGGCUUUAUUUUCACGUUGAUAACUCACCAAAAGAGUGCUGAUUUAAAUUUGUGUUUUGAAAGGGAUGGCUGUGCACUGGUAGCCUUGAGCACAUUCACUUGAAGCAGGUUUAUCCUGUAAUCACCACGCUCUGCAGCGAGUCUUUAACAUAUCUCUCUCUUCCUCUCUUUAGGAAAGCAAUAUUUUAUUACCUGACAGACUUUUAAUAAAGAAUUUAAUUUUCUUUUUGGCCUUUACUCUUAAUGAAUGACUUUGUAGCAGCUAGCCUGCUCUGGUUUUUAAACAGUUUGCUGUACUCAUUAUAGAGAGCAUCUAUAAUUCAAUGUACUUCAUAAUAGCUUUUCUAUGCUGUUUGCAUUAUUACGUAUGUGGCCCAUUACCCUGGCAGGGAUCGUGGAACAUCAGAGCGACAGAAAUGCAAACAAGUAGAAAGCUUUGUGUAGAGGCAGAUUAAUCCUUAUGAAAGGCUUUUUUCAGGGAACCAACACAGAUUAUUUUAUUCUAUUCCUCUCUUAGGUCCGAUGUAUUAAAAAGACAUGAUACACUUACAACACAAAAUGUGAGAACAUACAAUCCUUAAUUAGUUAACAGAUUAUCUCGACACACACACUUUGGGUUUGUUUAGCCCAUCUGGAAAUCUUAGACAGCAUUUCCUUUGUGUGUUUUGUUUUGUGUACACUAAGCCUCAUUCUUUUACUUUUUUUUCUCUCCAUGAAAUGAUAUUCAUUUAUUAAAGGAAAAUUUAAAAAAAACAAAACAAAAGAAAAACACAAGAGUUUAUUUUACCAAGCCUGGGGUGCUGAUAAGGGGCCCCGCAAUGCCAACAUAACACUAUGCAGGUACAAGUGCAGCAUUUUUCAAGAGGACUCCACUAUUUAAUGGAAUAAUGAUCACAAUUAACAGCCCUCCUUUUUUUUUUUUUUCUUUUCACAAAGUAUUAUUGAACUUACACUUAACCUGGGAUCAACAGACAAACAGCUCAUACUUCUCAGUCUGAGCUGUUUGUCUAAACCCCUGAGAAAUUGUACAACUUUAGUCAUCGGAAGCAACAAAAUGCUACAUAUGAAUGUAGCAGUUACAGUUUUAUAAUAGUGUAACACCCCAAAAAUAUACAAGAUACGUGUGGACCACAUUCCAGUUUAGCUCCAAGGGCAUAUGAUAUGAUACGAUUCAAUACAACUUAGUAUCAUGACACAUGAUACCACACAGUACAACACAAUAUGAUACAAUGCAGUAUUAACCAAUGCAAUAAGAUACAAUGUGGCAUGUUUGGAUGAAAUACAAUACAAUAUGAGUCUAUAUGACACUGUACUUAACAGUAUGUUAUGAUAGGUUGUGUUGCACUGUCAUGCAUUAUGGUAUGUUAGGAUAUAGUAUAAAACUAUACAAUGCGAUACAUUGUUAUAUUGUGCUGCCAUACAUUACAAUAUAGUAUGACACAAUGUAAUAAAAUACAUAAUGGUAUAAUAUGAUAUAAUACAAUCAGUUACGAUGUGAUAUGAUACAUUAUGAUACAUUACGACAUGGUAUAACAUGAUAUAACAUGAUGCUCAUAAGUUGGGAAAACCACAGUCUAGUAUACAUGUUUUUUUGUUUGUUUGUUUGUUUUUUAGGCUGGUGACAUAUUUCUGUUUGAUUAUGAGUGGAAUCAUCAAAUAGAAAAUUACUUUGGGUAAUGCUACAAAUUUCUAAACAUGACUGAUAUCCUCAGAAUCAGGCAGAAAUAUUCUAUCUCCAAAAUCACUGCUCUCCAGGAAACAAAGAACUCUAUUUUUCAGACUGAUUAUUCCACCCAGACAAAUAAUCUGUGUAUUUUUACUUUGAAGGAGUUGUUUACUGACUGGCUCUUGCACUGAUGUCUCUUUGUGGCCUUCUUGAGUUGAUAUAGAGCACUUACCCCGAUAUAUUUGUAUGUAGAAUUCUGCUUGUAGAGUUUGCCCAUGAGAAGUAAGUAAGAAAGCAAACAUAAUAUUUUUUUCUAGGAUAAUUUAAUUUUUGCAUUGUGUUUUGUAUUUACAGCUGAUGCUGGAGUAGGAUAAGCUUAGGGGUUUUUGCAGUGGUGUUGUUUAAGAUGGUGACACUCUAUAACCAGGGUUUUGCAGGGUAAAAGAGCAGGGAUAGAGGUUCAUGCUGGUCCGUGGGUCUUUAUUUGUUCUUUGACAAUAUAAGAGUUACAUUACUUGGAGACACUUGAGCACAUAUCACGACACUGGGGUACUAAUGGGUAUUUAACCAACAUCUAUGGUCCCCUUUAUAUAGCCAGAAACUUUGAUAUUUCCUAUCACUCUGCAUUUCAUUUGUUUUUUUUCUCUUUUUCUUAACAAGGUAAAGCAGUACUGAAAAUAUGAAUUUACUCUAUGCUUAUAAUGUUUCUCUGAAUGUUAAAAAAAAAAAUUAAGAAAGACAAGUACUCCCUUAUGGCGACAGGUACUCAUAAAAAUAUGCCAAAGAAACAAAUGUUAUUUUAUAUUAAUGACCAUGUUAGGGGCGCUUGGACUCAUACAGAGUCACUUUCCGUGGAUUUCAUAUCCCCAAAUAGCCUGAGUAAAAGUUCUUUCUGCAGCGGAAACACACAAUCUUGAUUCUGCAUCAAACAAGGUCUCCCCAUGGUCAAGAGAGCUCACAGUGUGACUGUUAUAAUAGAAAGUGAAGAGGACUAUUUUCAAAGAAAAUGAGUAAAUGAUCAAUCUUUAACCAAGCGUUCUGUUCGUGAAUGAGACUUCCUCCAGAAAUGCAACAUAAAUAUGAAGGCUUCUUUUUUGAAUAAUCUGAUGCAAAAUUCAUGCACCUCUCACCUCUCUUACAGAAGAAACCAGUCUGGGUUCUCUGGACUGUUGCUGCAGACGUUUUGCUGCCAUUGACCUGCCUGCUUUCCAGCUGCUUCAAAUAUGCGCAUCAGUCUCUCCUCUCUUCUUGCAUCUCCCUCUCCCCCUUCUCUAAACCCAGCUCAGUCUCAGCAGCUGGCGCUUUUACGUGAGUCUGGUUCUGCUCGAGGUUUCUACCUGUUAAAGGAAGAUUUUCUCUCCCCUGUAACUUGCUAAACGCUGCAAAGUGUUUCACUCAUGUGGUUGAUAAUGGGAUGGGAGUGGGUCUGAUCUUACAAGAUGGGGCUCGAUCUUAUCCCAUCUUUAUAUCUGGUCUUUGUAAAUAGAGCCUGGUCCAGAACAUUUUUUAGUCAAGUUUCUUGUGAUAACAACAUCUGGUGCUGUGUAAACAACACUUAAUCCAAAAAUAACAAUCAUUUUAUGACCACCCUGAAAAAUCAAAGACAUAAAGGUUUUACAGGUUUACCAACUUACUAAACGGCAAGAGCAGAUCCAUUUAUAAAUAGCUGCACUUACCGUGGAAACAGAUUGGGUUAGUGCUUUCCAAACUGCCAUAAAUAAAAAAUGUGGCUCCCUCUCUAAUUGUGCAACACCCUGGGCAAAGGAUAUUUACUCACUCUUCUUGUUUUGGAAAAAAAGGGAAUGGUUUUGCAGCAAUGCAGCAACCUUAUUGUUGUAUUACUGUACUCUGCUUGCUUAUGAUGUUGCUGUUUCCAGGGCAUGCAUCUGAUUGGGUGACAGAGCAGACUGCACAAAGGAUGACAGGUUCAUACUUAACAAAUUAAUGGAAAUAACUGAUAAACAGUGAGUUGAAGAUGGCAUAUGUGUCUCUUUAAUAUUAUGAGGUGGAGGAUAAUGAGGAAUCACUCCUUUUUUAAUCGUAUUGUAUCAACGUUCAAAACUUUGUUAUUGUGGAAACUUAAUUUUGAAUCCCGUAGGGGGUAGAGAGGUUUCUUUGUGAGUAUUUGGUUUCAAACCAGCAGUAGUCUCAUUAUUUCCAGUCUGCUGAGUGUGUUCAGGAGUUUUUUCUAAACACAACCUGUCCAUUAUAUUAACCCUUUCAAAGUCACAAGAGAGCUGGAGCCAAUACUCUUCCAUUAGCUUGAAUAGUCCCCACCUUCCCCUGAUACUGAUAAAAUGGGACUCAGCAAAGGCAACCCAUUUGUUUUCUUUUUUCAUGUGUUUUUUUUUUUUUUUUUUGCCUCUGCCACGUCUAUCAUUUUUGUUAUUUCGUACCAGUCGUUCUUGGAGCCUCGCACAUGAAGACAGCCACGCACAAACACACACCAAUCCUACUGAGUUACAUAAUGUUUCUCUGUCAAAAGAUUUGGUAAACAAAUACAUCACACCAGUGACUGAUUUAGUUAGUCAGCCCAGACUGGCAGACGUUACACAAUGAGCCCUGGGCUUUCUACUCUACAACGCUUUUCAUUAUUUACCACCGCUGGAGAGCUGAUCACUCCAAAAUUAGACACUCCUAAUGCUGUGAUGUAUUUAUUCAAGAUGACAGCAUGGAAUAUUUGAUCCGAUUUGUUUGUUUGUGUGAGUGAAAGAGGAAUUAAAUGCAUGCAUGUGUUGGAAUUGUAUAAUCCUCAAAAAAAGACUUUUAACAGUCUGUUUGAUAUCCACACAUGCAGGUGCUUUUAUGAAUGCAUGUAUGUCCACUUGAGGAGGGUGCAUUUCAUCGAUAUGUUGAUGGAUCGCGAUGCUUCACGUGACGAUUCGGAAUUGAUUAAUGUCAAUGUUUAGUAAAUAAAAAUAAUAAUGUUGACGCUUUGCCGCAAGGCCAGAACAAAAAAAAACACGUAACCGGAACCUUAAUGCACGCGCCGCCCGGACUGUUUAGUGAGGGGGACUACAACAAACAGAGCACACUUGUUCCUUUGCAAAAUGGCAACUGCUUCAGCAGCCUGCAAAGAGCGGAUGAUUCUCUUGCCACCAGGGUUGACCUGCAACCGUGUGGAAGUACUCUGAAUUUUACGAGAGAGCAAACAAGAUGACUGACAAGACCUACACGACUUGCAAAGCAAAAACAAAGUAACUCAGCAACACCACAAAUAGGAGGCAACACCUUGUACACUUUCAUCCCGAAACAGAGAAGGCUCCUCUGGUUGUGCCCGCCACACAGACGGCCAUCCUGGAGACUGUCUCCAAACUUCCCAGUUUAAGUUAAGAAGGUCAAAGUGCAAAUGUUUACAUAGCAGUCAUACAGUAAUAAAAUAAAAUAUUUUGUGUUUUUAAAAAAUACAAGUCAAAUGUUCAAAAAAUCUUAUUUAGUUAUUAAGUUUAGUUUUAGAGCAACUGAGUAAAUUGAUAGGCUAUUUAUUUACAAAUGUAGCCACAGAUGAGGACAGAAUCAACCUUGUAUGGAAUAAAGCAUUAAAAAUGGGAAUCUAAGCAUCAUGGCACCAAUAAUCUAAUCGGAUUGACAAUCAUUGUCAGAGAAUCAAAGCUUCCCCAAUCAAAAUCUAAUCCAAUCUUAAGGUACCCAUGAUGGAAAACCCUUAAUGUCCACAUGUGCAUAAUUCUGUGUUUGAUUGUCAGAAAGGUUGGAGCAGCUCAACUGCACUAACCCACUAAAAAAAUAAAAAUAAAAAAGAGGUCUUAUUUGAGAAACAGCACACACUCCAAGCCUACUUCUGUCCUUGGAGGAGCUGGAAAAUACACAUUUGUAUUGCUGUAAGAUUUUCUACUGAGGAUACUGUAUCUUAACCCUCUCGACCUCUAGAGGAUUCUGAAAUGUUGGUGCACUUCACUCAAAACUGUCACUCUGGUGAGUAUUCAUCUCAGAUGUUGUUUCUUGAAUCUGCUGGGGCCACUCUCCCAAUGUUGGGGUCACAGCACUGAGUACUCCAAUCAAAACUGGUUUCACAGUUGUCUUCACUCCUCACAUUUACUCUAUUUGAACUUUCAAACCAUUUGAAAUAGGAAUAUUACACUCUAUGGAACACCUGUUGUAAAUUACUCAUCCAAAAGAAUCACCUCUCUUUUCUUUUUCUUGGCCUACCGUUGCUUUCUUGGUCUUCUUCUUUAUUCUGUAUGUGAGUAGGGGGAGGUAGAGUGUGCAGCCUGACUCGGCAGGGGUGAGCUCCAGCCAAAACAGGCUUCCUUUUCUGGUUCUGCUUUCCACAUCUUCUUUCUUACAUCUCUCCUCUGUUUUAUCUCUCUCUCUCUUCAAGAAUAGGGAGGUUGGGGGUAGUACAGCACACAUCCUAUCUGGUGUUGGUAGCUCUAGCCCCUACAGGCAUCUUGCCCUGUCUUAGCCUUUCUUGUCCUCUUUAACCAUCUCUCUGCAGACUUCUCUCUCUGUUUUUUUAAUCUACUUUUCUUUCCUCUCAUGUGGGUAUGAUGGGCUGUCAGACUCGGCAUAGAGGGGUCUUUCUCUGAGAUGCUGAAGUGAACUGUUGAGCCUCCUCCACCCUGAGGUGUCAAGGGCCUAACUCAGUGUGACAGUGGUGGUAAAGGGAGAUGUUGACUCUACAGCCUCACCUUAAUUGGCUUUUGCUGCUCAUCUGGUUUCACAGUCAGGGUGUAGGGGGCCACCAGAGACCAAGUAGUAGGGUAAGUAGCAUUAAUGAUGUCAACGGUUCGGUUUGUUGAAGUUUGCGAUCCUGUUUGGGUGGUGAUGGCCACUCGGCACCCUUUAGUCACCUAUUUUUUAGUUUUGUUUUUUUCCUGCUGUGUCCAGUGCAUCAUCUUUUCGUCCAGCAUGGCUUUGGCAGGCUAAGAAAUCAACAUCUGUCUCUCUCACAUGUGCUGCAGAAACACAAACCAUCUGCCCAUCACCUCUAAUUAACUAAAGCAGAGAGAGCCAUGGAGCGACACCAACAGAACAAAUCCCAAAUCAUGUUGUAGUGCUUUUAGGUCCUGUGUGUCCUAUUAUAUGUGAAUUCAACACAGCAUGACAGAGCUAUUGAAUAGAGCUUUUGAUGUCUUGUUCUCCUCCAACAAACACACGGGGUGUACAAAUGUAAAGUGCAUGCUCAGUGGUUGGAUUUAUGCUGUGCUGUAGGAAGCUGCUACCUUCAGGAAGUCCUCUGGGAACCAGCAUCUCUGCAGGCUCUAUUGUCUCUUUUUAACAUAUUCAUCGUACAAUGAGGCAAUUUCCUACAAUAGCAUUGGCUCUUGAAUCUGGCCAUGCCACAUCACAUUAUCCACGGAGAUUGAAACCCCAGCUCCUCCUGCUUUGGAUAAAUUCCGUGUCAUUGCCUUCCCUUAUACCUUGGCACCCGAGCCUGGACUGGUAAUGGCUAGAUGUAAACAGAGUCGGUGGUUUUAUUCUUUAAAGGGAGAAAGAUAUUUUUUUCUCUCACAUUUUUAGCAUUGUUUACAUGUUGUAUGAAUAGCAGACACAUAUAUAGAAUCUACUGUCAGUGUUGUCAAUAUAAACACACAUCAUUAACCAGUUAGGAUAAUGACUUGUUGCAUGGUAACACAAGAUUAGCUUGUCUAUUAGCAUAUGAUAUGAUGCAAAUAAAACCCUGAAAAUGAGUCUUUGUCUUUUAUACAUAUUUAUUCCAGUUUGACACAUUUAAGAGUCUGUGGGUUGUUUAGCUUUUGUGCCCACCAUAAACCUUGACACUCAAAGACACUGUUAAAUUCAGGAGGUACAUGCGACAGGUUAAUGCAACUACGCUGCUGAAAAAAUGCCAAGUCUAAACUACAAUCCUGUGUGGGCAUAUUUUAAUGAGCUACAUGCAUUCAUCAAGGUUAGAUUUGUCUCCUGUUUAAAUGAACAUCAAUGCAGAAAACAGCUUGUUCAGUCACAGUGAGUACAUUUACAUGCUCAGUUAAACUGAUUGAGUGAGAUCAGACAGUUUAAGUGGGCUACUCCUCUCUCGCCCAGUAUUCAAGCACUGAGUAAAAGUUAAUGUAUGGUAAGAUCAUGUCUGCCUUCGCUUCUAUUGGGCUGUCUCCUGGUCAACCUGUUACAUCACACACCAAAACAAUCAAAAACCAGGUUAGCGAAAGGCCAUCUUGUUGUAUGUAAACAGAGAACGGCUGACUACAACUGCAAAGGUCUGCACCUUUCAAACAAACUGUAGACUUCACCAUUAGUACAAACGUGAUGUCUGCUGUCUCUCAAGGCCAAAUGCGCUGACUCAUUUAUGCCAUUGAAUUGAAAGUACGGGUCAAAGUUUGGCAUGCAAACUGUGGACCAUGCACACAACACUGAGGCCAUUUGAACUUAGGUGCACACAUGUGAGAGAAAAUUGAUCCCCGACUGCUCGAUGUAAGCGAUAAAUUUAAAUUGGUGCGAUUUCGGACAGACAAGUUUGCAUAUGUUUUAAAAGUUUUUAGUCCAUUUUUAACAUAAUGUUGACAAACUGACUGGGACUGUAGCUGUAAGGAUAAGGUGACCACAGUCCCUGUACUGGAUGACCUGUUCCCGGCUAAAGCUGUCCCCGGAAAUGUCCCUGAUUUAAGCGUUUCAUGAAUGAGAACGAAAAUGUUGCAUGUAGACUAGAACCACGGUUAUUACGGUAGCCAAGUAGCACAAGUAAGCAUGUCGUGCGCAGUCAUGAACAACAGUUUUUACACAGGGUUAUUAUGGGGGGUGUGCGCUGCUACCAAGUUGUACCAAGUUGUUGUCUGUGAUCAUGCAGCCCACCUUAUGUUAGGGUCAGCUUUUAAUGUCCACUGUGUGCUCUAAAAAUAAUACAUAACACCUGUCCAUGUCAAUAUGUAAAUCUACGUCAAGCAGAGUGAAGAUCUGAAAUGUCAUCAUUGCAAUCGGACGCGACACAAGAGCAAACAACUUAAAGGACAAUAUGCUUAGUGAACUAGACCUUAAGAUGGCCCAGAUGGUGAGGGUAUAUCACACGCAACUUUUGGUGCUAGUUGUAGCCACAGUCCAAUCUUCGUGUCUUUAUCUGUUUUCAGCCUACAAAGGGUCACCUGUUGCUGAUUAGCCAUCAUUACAUUUAGGAUCAUGUAAUCAGCGGGCAACAAUAACCAACAUAGUUACAACUUCAAAAUAUGUUGUUGAAAAAUCCCAAACCCGCUUUUGUUAGCUUCAAUGUCAAAAUAAAAGUCUCUUUUAAUAAUAAAUUUUGAGGGUCAUAUCUGAGAUUGUUAGACCUUUAAAAAAGGCUAGAGCUUUGAAUUUCUGGAGAAGCACAGUCAGAGUAACUGCCUAAGAGUUUCUUAGCUGGGCUGCUUAUGCACCGAAUUUCAAGUCUGAUAAAAGGGAAGAAAAAAGAGUUGAGUUGCAAGUAUCAGAGUUACCUUAAUAUAUUACUGGCACUUCACUAGGAGCUAGUUAUACUUCCAAUUGGUGCAUUCAGUGAGAUGUAAAACACUUUGGAUAAAAGCUCCUGCCAAGUCACAUAUGUAAUCCAUUUUCUGUAAUAAAAAUAAUAAUCAGGGUGGUAUUUAUCAAAAUGUCAGCCACAAUGCCUCAUGGCCAAUAAAUUAAGACGUGCUUAAGAAAACAAAGUGGAGGGAUAGCUGUUUAAAUUCCACUCACACAGACUUCAGGUGAAUUUCACAGUUGAAAAGCUGAGGCUAUAAAGGGCAACUUUUUGCAAGCGCUGUCCAUAUCCCCUUAACUUACCGCUUAAAAAACGGAGGUUGUUAUACGGCCAUCAGCUACAGUUGCUGGAUCUUAUGUGCACAAACACGUUAUCCUCUUAGUAAUUUUUCGUAGAACACAUGCAGUCUCUCUGUGAAAUAAAAGGUUGUUUAUAGUUCAGAUAUAAGCCUCUCUUUACCCCUCCUUCAACUCUCCAUCACAGGAAACCAAUCACGAGUUAUGCUGCUUUAGCAACAAACCUCAAAAUGAAAACAUGUUUUCAGCUCCUGUGCCUGCAGGUUCACCUGUAUGUGUAUCUGUGCGCAUUAAGCACAUCACUUUUCUUUCCUACAGAACAGAAAUAAAUCGGCUAUUAUUUCCCAGCUCACACAAGUCUUGUUCUAUCUUCUUGGUUGUUUUUAAGUGUGUUUGCAGGCACUAAAUUGGGUAAAGACUUGAGAGUGUGUGUGCGUGUGUGUUUCCCAGGGGACCUCCACAGGCCUUAAUUGCAAUAGUGCUCUGCUUGCUGUGGUUGCCAUCGGUUACAAUCUGUCAAAGCCCUCGUUUGCAUCGGUUUAUGUCGGCGUCAAACCACAUACUCUCUGUGGCAAGCUGAGGAACACCUUAUCUGAUUCGGCAGGAAUUCACAACCACUUAGAUGCUCUCACUAAAGACCUGACAGUGGCUCAUUUGCUGUGUUUACUCUGUUCUUAAAUGAGUGCUGAAGCUUCCACAAGCCCUCAAUCUACACUGAAUACAAUUCGAUCAAUAUGGCAUCAUAAGUGUGAUUAACUCUGGUCUAUGAUGCAUUCUUCUGCCCACAUACAGACACACACAUAUGCUCAGAGGAGCAUUAGCAGGCUCUCUGUGUCUGUCCUUGACAGAAGAGGAUCUUGACUGAGGGAUCGGCUCAUUAUGCAAUAUCUCUCUCUAAGGGAUGCUUCUGGUUCCACUUCUUCAGCUUAAACAGCAGCAGCAUUCUUGUCUGCAGUUGUGCUGUCUGCCCUGAAUGAUCAAAAAUGAGGAUGGGAUUCUGAUGUAGUUACAUCUGUCUUUUCUAAGCAACCCAGCCCUCACAGAACUGUGUGUCUUAAAGGAACUGGAUACCAAGCUGGAGAGGACUGCUUUGCAUGUUGUGGUAGGGUUUUAUUAACUCCUAACACACCCUUAAAGGGAUAUUAAUUUAGGGUCAAACACACCUUAACAGACAGACACCCCGUCAAGAGGUGAAUGUUUUGCCGACCACUUGCUUCUUUUUUAUAUCAACUUUAGUAACCACCACAUGAUAGCAAUACACAGCGGUCUCAAUAGCCAUGCGCUUAAACAAAAAGCCACUCUAUAGCCACAAAUAACGCUCAGAACAGAAUCACCAAUACAUAUAGGGUACCAGCCAUAGCACUAGCCACCAAACAUCUUUUUAGCUUUGCCUCAUUUCUUUAGCAAAGAGACUAAACACAACUCACCUACUCACUUACAGCAGCAGCUUGUUUGUAUGGAGACCUCGGGCGAGUCCAAACUGACUGCUGCGGGUCGACGGAGCUCAAGGAUGAACAUUUAUGAUCAUUUCUUCAUGGAAAUGCAAUCAGACUGAGACGCUAAGGCAGAAGAACUACUGUGUCCGCAGUGCAAAAUGAUUAAUAUGAUAAUUAUUUCUUCAAGGAAAUGAUAAAGAAAUCAUCAUAAAUGUUCCUCCUUAAGCUGCGUCCAUCCGCUGCAGUCAGUGAUGGACUUGGCCAAGCUCUACCUACAAACAAGAUGACCUGAAUAGCACUUAAUGUUAUGCUGUACCGCUGAACUCUUGAGGACAGUUAACCUGCUCUGAUCUUACCUCUUUUUGUGAAUGUUAGUCUCAGAGAUAUUUUAGCUUUUAUUGUUCUGGGACGUUAUUGUGGCAACAGAUGAACACAGAACGUGUUUUGGUCGACAUCAUCCAUCUUGUAACCGAAAUAAUUCCAGAUAACUGACUUUCCUUUUCUUUUUGGCAACAAGUCUUCAUCUUCUGUGGUUUUCUCUGUUUGUUGCUCAGUUUGCGAUCGUUCGAGUUACCGGUGUUGUGCCGAGAAACGCAUGUCCUCCGAGAAUUGCAUGCACCUCACAAAAUCCGCACUGCUUAUAGUAGAGUGGUCCACGGAAAUGUACAAUUUAAAACCCAUACAGUUCUUAUUUGUUGGGCUAAACAGUGAUGAAGAAUGUUCCAAAAGUAAUUCUCAGCGGACACGCGUUUCUCUGCUCAACUCCGUAGCGCCAGUGACUCUCACUCCAUGUGCAGAACAUGUGCAGGGGUGGGUUUCCUCCUCUCUGAUUUUGAUUGAGAGCUGGCAGGGUAGUCUGAUUGGCAACUGAGUAAAGAACGAAGGUGAUUGGUGGAUCGCUGCACAGCACAUGCAGAGUCACAUGCAGUGUCUCUCAGUCAGUUACCCUUGAAAUUAACUGAGUUCAUUUACCUCCGACAUCGCAGGCUCUGCAAUGUGGCCAUUGCACACACGUACAUCGCGAUGACGAUGCUCAAACGAUAUAUUGUGCAGGCCUAGUGUGUAUGCACUCCAGUUGUGUGUUAUCAUAACAAGAAAAAGGUUAGCAUGAGUCCGACAAGAGCGGGGUUUCUAUUAUGUAUUUUGCUUGUGUUACAAAACCAAGGACUUCAGACAAGAAUCCAAUUAAUUCAGUCUGAGUGAACUGAACUAUGGCCUUGCGUGUCUUUAAGGGUGCACUUGCACACUUCAUCCUGCAGGUUCAUAUAGCACAGUGCACUUGGCUGUAAAAUACAAAGCUGUAUAUAACUGUGCUGCCACAGUGAAGAGGACUUUGUGCAAUUUACAUAAUGCAAAAACUCCAUAUGAAUGCAUGCAUAGAUUUUUGCUGAUGUAUUUCAGUGUGUGUGUGUGUGUGUGUGUGUAUGUGUGUGUGUGUGUGUGUGUGCGUGUGCGUGUGUUUGGAACAUUUCUCCUGUCUGCAACUGCACUCAAGGUUAAUGUAUACACCGAUAAUGGAGAUGAUGCUGUGUAAAGCGUCCUCACUUCUGUCUGGGAAUCGCAACUACAUUGCAUUACUGAGCUCAUCAGCAUGAUGGAACAAGCUCCUCAACAUCUCUUUACAGCAUGUCUGUACCCCCCCACGCACACUCUCUAUCACACACACACACACACACACACACACACACACACACACAACUACCUUUUAACAGGUUGACAGUAUUGUGCCAACACACUUCUGGUCCUUGAAUCUAUAUACUCAAUCACCCACAUUACCGGUGACCCCACAGGUCCCAUCCCGUGUAACACAGUUAACCUUGCACUAUUUGAACCGUAUUGUGACAUAGUAAACGCUGCCAACAGGUUUGCCACUUGUAUUACUGAUUUAGAGUGGGCACAGUUUCAUAUCAUUGCAAGUGGAGCUUAUUUUAAUAAAAACAUGCAGGACCAGGUUCCAAGAAGGAGCCAGUUCUACAUAUUCAAGACCCGCCCUGAGGCUGACGUUAGUUAAAAUGAAUAGUUAAAACCGUUCACUGCAACGCCUCUUCGGAGUAAACAUGGCUGGCAGACUUGACAGUUCGGCAUGCAGGUGAGCUAACCCAGAUUCUUCUUUCCAGCCCUGGAAACAAGUCUCUCUUCAUCUUGAAUUUUUUAAUUUUUUGUAUUUCAUUAAACUGCAAUUUAAAGCAAGGUGAGCUGAUUCUCAUACUUUCAUCUUCAGCGGGCUAGCUUGUAUCAUUGCCCAUUCUUACACGGUUUUCUUGCUGGUAUCUGGCUUGUGGUGAAUACUUGAUUCUGAUUGGUCAAAAACAUAGUUUUAAGGUCAUUAACUUUAAUUAGCAAAAGUGAUGCUAAGGACAACCAAAUCGCAGGUCACAUAAGAUGAAUUAGCAAGAAGGAGAACUGCACAUAUAUGACUUUGCCUUAUUCUGUUAGCAAUGUAACAUAUUGGUUUUGGACAGUCGUUAAGGUAAGAAUAGUAGCUAAUAGCUGUUUGGUCACCAGCAGAGUAAAGAUCAUGAAACCAGUGAAAGGGACAUCUCAGAAAAUUGAAGAAAACAGACUCAAAAAAACCACAAGACACAACAAAGAAUGAGCUUUCACAGUCUUCCAGGACUGGUUGGGUAAAAUAUAAAAAGCUAACAUGGAAGUUACAGAGAGGGAUACACAUGUCCUACAGUUAUUUUCUGCAUCUAGUGAUAAUACUUCUGGCAAAAGCACCGUGUUAGUCUGUUUUCGCAGUUUAGCUGGUAAGAAUACGGUUUCCAUGGACUCAUCUAUUGCAGAAUUGAGAGCUCCCAAACAUUGGCCAGAGGCCACAUCAUAUCAGACAACAGCUGAUGGGUUCUGACACCAUAUUUCAACACAAGAGAUAAACGUUUUCCUCUUGUGCGUGACACAGGCUGAUGUGUAUUUUGGUUAGAUCUUAAGCCUGUCAUAGUUGGUGCUCAUUGCUAUUGUUGGUGUUAAUGCACCGCACCAGAUGAAGGAUGGUGAAGGACGCUUGGCUUUUCCCUACCAUGGGCAUGCCUUGGGCAGUAUAAUGGAUAUGCCAAUGGGCGUUGCAGCCCCCCAGCUGCCCCUGAGGUUCUGCCCACCCCAGGGACAGACGGUAUCAAAUGGACCUGCAUGAACAGAUGGGGAAUAUAUUAGACAGGAAUGGGCCAGCAGAGAACGCUUGCCCAGCAGAUUCACAAAAGUAUAAUCAGAGCUGAGGGAGGAAAUUGUUAAAAAUAAAAGAGGGGAAAGGAGAGAAGGGAAGCAAAAAGAAUAUCACGAAGCCAGCAGGAGUGAGAAGAAUAGAGACAAAGUGGUUCAAUGUAUCUUCAGUACGUAUAUUUUUAGGCUGUCUGCAUGUACCGAGGCAUGGGCUCUGAUUGUAAUCGGAUGGGCGCUCAUAAGGGGGAUCAUCUCCCUGGAUGUAGAGACCUCUCUCCACUCUCCUCCCCUGUCUCCCUCUUGUCCUCCCAACCGUGAUGAAUCUGAUUGUCUCCUAACCAAAAAGCAUGCUGCUCAUUUUUCAAUGCCGCUAUCCCUCUUACUGCAAGUUUCAAGGGAACCCUCUCACGCUUGUUCCAUAUUAGAUGACACUCUUAAUCCAAUUUGGUCAGAAGUACAUUCCUUCGUUCUCCUGCAUCUCUUUCUGUUAAUAGUGUGUACUAAAGCCUGUGUAUGCCAGAAUGUACGUGCCGGACUGCAUUUGCAUGUGCAAAUUUGUGUGGGCGCAGGCAGAUGUGUGUCAUGUCUUUGCAGUGAUUAGCUUUAGCUGCCGGGUCUCUCAGGACUUGCGCUUCACUGUGUGUUCUGCUUGCCAAGCACAGUUAAGUCUACGCUCAAACUCCCAGUACUGUGCCACAGCAGGAGAAAUGAGUUUUUCUCGGCUGAUUUCUUGUGAAAGGGGCACACACACACAUACUUAUUCACACAUUGAUGCGGCUGUACAGCACCGGUCAAGGUGGAUUGCUUUAGGGUGUAUCUCACUGCAGGGUAUAAACAAAGUUUUACUGUGGGUCAGCUCGGAAUGACUUAAAGAAAGUUGAUAGGAUCAAAUAUGAAAAAAAAAAAAAAAACUAAUUUUCAACUCACAAGAGGUCCGAUGCUGAGGAACUUUACAUAAUGUGUGCCAACUCUUUUGACUUGCGUUCAGGCUACUAUGAAUUGCAAAUGAAAUAUAAAUCCCUCUGAGAAAAAACAAUAAAUAUAUAAAAUAAAGGAAGACUUUUUUUAGGCACUCGCUGUACUAAAAAGAUAAGUGUGGCUGACUCUGGCAGAGCUAUCACUCUGAGCCGUCAGUCCCUGCUGGGUUAGGGGCGACAAGCCUGUGCUGGUUACUACAGUCCAGUGGUUGCAUGCUAGAUUAGCCUGGCAUAGCCUGUAUACAACUCCAUUUUCUGUAAUACAUUAUCAUUACAGAUAUUGAUGUUAUCAGUGAUCACUGACGGACUUCUAGUGUGAAUUGUGUUAGAGCAAUUACAUCAUAAUUGUUGAGAAGGCAAGAGGUGUUUUUUUUAUUUUUGUUUGUUUCCUCUAUCAUACUUUGUAAAAACAGCCCAGUAUUAGCAAAUAAAUGCAACACAACAUUAUUCGGUAGACUUAUCCAUGCUAUUCUGUUUUCAUUAAAAGGGUCUGUGUCGGUCUAGUGUGCCUGACUGCUAAUGUGUAUGUUUGUCUAAUGCAGUGGUUCUCAAGUCCAGACACACCUGAUUCAAAUCAUCAGCUCGUUAUCAAGCUCUGUAACGGCUUAAUAACGAGCUGAUCAUUUGAAUCAGGUGUGUUGGAGCAGGGAAACAUCCAAAACAUGCAGGACAGUGGGCCUAGAGGACUGGACUUGAGAACCACUGGUCUAAUGGACAUCAACAGACACCCCUGUUUACCUUCAAGGUCAACUGGACUUUGCUUUGGAUAGAUGACUACAACUGCUGUCUUUUAACUGUUGUAGCAUUUAAACCUUCUUUUUAUUUGUACAAAAGUUAAAAAAAAUAAAUAAACUGACAGAAACUUUGAGGAUUCAUUGACAGAGAGAUAAUGCAAAAUAAGCUCUGAUGUACGGCACUGUGUGAUUGACUGCUGCUUGUGUGGCUUUCAGACCAAAUUAUUGAUAGAGGUCAGUUUUGCUACAGAAUUAAUCGGCCAUAAUUCAUUCAAAACUGCCAGAUGGGUGCUGACUUCAACCUAAAUAAAACACAAAUUGUCAUCACACACUAUGCCUGGUUUCAAGUCUUAUCAGUAGUUUCUUGCAAUUUCCAAUAUCGAUUUGAAGAUUCCUUUGUACUACAAAUUACAGCAUCAGCUUGUAAGUGAACCUCACAUGAAGAAGACAUUUGUUCUUUUAAUCAAUCAUCCAGUUUUCAUUCUUUAGAAAGCUCAAAAAUCAAACAACAAAAGGAAUCAACGUUCAGUAAGAAAUCUUAAAGGACGUCACCAAAAGUCAAAAAGCCAACAAUUGUGUAUGAAUAUGUAAGUACUGCAGUUUGAAGUGGUUGUGACAUGGCUUAUGCAUUAAACCUGAGCAGUCUGCAUUAAAUCAAGACCCCUACAGACCCUGAUAAAACUAUUAAAACUCAAGUGAUAAACUGUACAGCCAAACUUUCAAUGUCUUCAGGGCUAGAGGAGACCAGUAGUAACCACAAACUUUGUCCAAACUCUGUAAAUCUUGACCUUUUUUUCCUGUGAUUAAGGGCCUGACAAACACUCGGUCCUUGUAUGAAUCAUUUAUGGAGAGGUCACUGCAGGUCCUCUCGCUUGUUUUGAUCACAGUCUUCUGUGUUUCACCACACUCGAGGGCCCUCCAGCUAUUUAAGAGCCUCCUUUUGCAACCAGGGUUUUGCUACAUGUCACAACAGAGCAACAGAGGCCUAAUACCGUUGAGGAUGCGUCAGCGCCCUUGUUUAAUGUAGUCUACAUGAUAGAUUUUUCAUAUUUCAUGUUUGAGAGAUGCAUGAUGCAGAAAUAUUGCUUCUGUUUGGACAUCAGGUUCUAUUUGAGAAGCUUCUGAGAGCAGAGACUCUAAACGACGGGAUGAAAUAAGACAAAAUAAACAGUCUGCUCAUUUCACAGAGCUUCUCUCCAUGGGGAAAAAAGAGGAAGAUACUGCUUGUGAAUGUUACACCCUGACUAAAUUGAUUUGGGUUUAGGUUGAAGGUUUUAUCAAAGCUCUAAUCCUCAGAGGAGAGGAUAAGUCUAAUCGGAGUGUUUUUCUGUUGGGAUUAGUGGCAGCCCGCCUCUUCUUCUCACUUUCAUUCUCAUAGAUUGCUUUCUAAAAUACAGUUUUGUUAUUUCCACUUUUGUGCAUUUUUCCAUCUCGUACUUUUUUUCCCUACCCUUUUCUUCAAAUAUCCCUGUUUUAUUUCCCUUAUUUUUGCUUUUAUAUAUCUUAUUCAAAUGUAGUUGUUGAAGUGUUUUGAGUGUUUCGUUAUUUCGUGUUCCCGCAAUACAACUGAAGCUAUUAUAUCUAAACUGUGUGAAGCUUUGUCAUAUUUCAAACAUGCCUAUUUUCUCCUGAAAGCUUUAUUUUCCUCUCUUAUUCCAUCUGAUGUAUCUUAUAUGUGCCCUCUCUUUCUUCAUGGAUGCGCAGUCUUUAGAAAGAGCCUGUAUGGGGAAUGAUCAUUUAGGUGAAAUGUCUUUCUAACAAGCUGAAAACAAGCUCUUUAUGGAGUUGGAUAACAAGGUAAUGGUGCUCAAGUCACAAAGGAGAACAACCUUCAGUCGUUUAAAAAGGUUGUAUAUGCCAGGUUCAGGCAUUAUUUGGUUUGAAUCUACAAUAGAUGGUUUGUGAACAGCUGUGGGCUGACAAGAGAAAAAAGUCACUGCAUGUACAAGAUCAUCCUCAGGAUGUCAUUUUCACACCGUAACAAAUCACCACGAGAGCAGAGGGGGAAAUGUACCAUGAUCUUAGAAGAUAUUCUUCAUUCUAUCGGUCUUGGUUUCAACACUAAUGGUUUGAAUUCAAGGCACUCACACUGAUUCAUUUCUCAAUAUUACCACUAAAUGAUGCAAUUUAUAUGCAUUAAUUGUUGCAUGGUUUGAUUUGAUUCUGCUCUGUUGCAACACAAAAUGCUGUACUGCACAACAAUACGAGGGUUUCUAGCAUUGUCAUAAUAUAAAAUCUAAAUUUAAUCCAUUUCUAUUACUCCAUGAAAACAAAUUAUUAAUGGUUCUCUGCUAUACCAUAUUGGCGGUUUACACACACAAAUACAUACACACACACACACACACACACACACACACACACACACACACACACACACACACACACACACACACACAAAUACAUACACACACACACACACACACACUUUGGCUUUAAUAAGCAUGUCUACCUGCUUGACUGUGAGUUUCAACUGAUGAUGAGCUUAGCUUUAGUCCAACAUGAUCAAAAUAAGUUUAUGUCUGAGAUUUGUGGUCAAAAGGGCAACUGUAAAUCCUGUAACUCCCCCAAAACAACCAAAAACUAACCAGAAGCCCAGUUAGUGCCAAGUUAAGUGGUUGACAUUUGACAAAUUAAUUUCUGAGUGAUACCUCUUCUGUAACUCUCUUCAAGGGGAAGAGGUAAUGCCUGCUGCUCACAUAUCACAAAAAAGCAGACUCAUAUUUGUUUUUUCAGUGUUUGUUAUUUUACUCUCAAGAAAUAAUGGAAUAAGAAUCAAUAGUUAAUUAAAAAAAAUCUUUAUGUGGGAAUGGAAUUGGACUCAUCAUUUGAAUAAAGGUAGAAAGAGCUGAAACUGUACCCAAAGUUUUCAUGACAGAUGUGACAAAAGCAGCUUUUUAAGAUUAUUUUUAUUUUUUUAAAGAAACAUGCGUAAUGGCAGAACUUUGAUGUGCAGGGGUUGUGGGGAUUUGCAAUUGUUCAUUCAUUUUUUUUUAAUUUAGGAGACAUUUUGUGUUGUGUGGAGUCUCCCCCUUCUCCCCACAGAGAUCGGGGGGACUCCUCUCUUGGUAUGGCUCCUCUGGCACUUUUGCACCUGCCCCUGAUCACACUAACCACUGUCUGCACUUAAGAGCUGCAGAGACACUCCUCAGCACCACAUGAUUCCAGCUCCUCUGUGGUAUCCAGGCCUACAACUUGCAAGUAUCGCAAGUUUGUAUGAUCUCUAGUAAUUGUCCUCUACCUAUUGCUCUCCUCCUUUCUUUCCAGUGCCUCCACAAGCCUCUCGAGCCAAGCUACAAUCUCUGCCACGCUGCCACAAUUCUCACAUUGGAUCACUCACCUACCUUCUUAGCCAACUCAUUCACCACUAAUCCUCACCUUACCUUAGAGCUUCAUCGCACCCCAGACUUUGGAUUCCACCCCCCCACCCUUCACCAUUAUUGCAAAUAAACCAUUCAGAACUUGUUUUGCCUCCUGUCUGCUCUUGGGUUAAGCUUAAAACUUAUCAUUAAGAAAACGUAACAAAGGUUGAGCUACAGGCUAAGCUGAUUUAACCCUUGAUUAUAACCAAGAUAAUAAAAAAUAAAAUAAACAGUGAUGCUUAAGGUUGCAUUUGAGUGUGUUUGUCUGUUUAUGUGUGCAGCAAGGAGAGUGCCCAUCGGAGCGAGUAUGCAUGAUGGAGAGCUUGAUGUCAGCCUUCAGGCUGGAGUUUUUGGAGGUCAUGAUUCCUGGACAGUUUGAGCAUAAUACAGCAGUACAAUUACAACCAAGUCUAAGCAGGCAGAAUAAAUGUACUCUAACUGUGCUCAACUAUUUGCACCUGUGAUUUGCAAUGAGACUUACACUUUCUGUGUACUUGACAGUGAUUCCUUGUUUCAUUUGCACAAGAUUAGCAGGUGCAUAACCUGCAUAAUCUUUUACUGAAUGAGGCUUCAAGUCUGCUGUGCCAAAGAUGAGGUGAUUUGCAAUUUUUCAAUCACUUAAUUGAGUUACAACUGCCUGGCUUAAAAAAAAGGCGCGACCAAAAAGAAAAAAAAAAGGUCACACACUGUAAUAUUUUGUUGGUCCGCCUUUAUAUUACAGCAUGAGUUCUCUGUGGCAUUGUUUCGAUAAGUUUCUGCAAUGUCACAAGAUUUAUUUCCAUCCAGUGUUGCGUUAUUUUUUCGACAAGAUCUUGUAUUGAUGAUGGGGGAAUCUAACCACUGCACAAAGCUCUCUCAAGCACAUCCCAAAGAUUCUCAAUUGGGUUGAGGUCUGGACUCUGUAGUGGCCAAUCAAUGUGUGAAAAUGAUAUCUCAUGCUCUCUGAACCACUCUUUAACAAUUUAAACCAGAUGAAUCCUGGCAUUGUCAUUUCAGUAAAUGCUUGAGACAUUAGGGAAGAAAAAAUCCAUUGAUGGAAUAACCUGAGCAUUCAGUCUAUUCAGGUUGUCAGCUGACCUCAUUCUUUGGGCACUUAAUGUUACUGAACCUAGACCUGACCGACUGCAGCAACCCCAGAUCAUAGCACUGCCCCCAUAGGCCUGUAUGGACGACACAAGGCAUGAUGGGCGCAUUACUUCACCUGCCUCUCUUCCUACCCUGACGUGCCCAUCACUCUGGAAGACGGUAAUUCUGGACUCGUCAGACUACAUGACCUUCUCCCAUUCCUCCAGAGUUCAAUCUUUAUGCUGCCUAGCAAACUAAAGCCUUUUUUUUCCAGUUGGCCUUACUGAUUAGUGGUUUUCUUAAGGUUACACAGCUGUUCAGUCCCAAUCCCUUCAGUUCCCCUCACAUGAAAUGCUCUUUCUUUUCACUAUUAAACAAACCCCUGAGUUCUACUGUUGUUUUUCUUUGAAUUGAUUUGGCCAAAUGUUUUAACUGAUCUCCAAUCACUACCAUUUGGGAUUGUUUUCCAACCACAUUUCUCCCUGUUAGACAAUGGUUCUCCACUAUCAUUCCAGUUUUUGAUAAUGCGUUGGACAGUUCUUAACACAAUUUUAGUAGUUUCUACAAUCUCCUUAGAUGUUUUCUCAUGCAUGCAAAUGAUUAGACCUUCUUAAAGAGACUUAUCUUUUCCACGACCACAGGAUGUGUCUUUUGACAUGAUUGUUUAUGAAAUGAGAAGUUACUCAUUGCAUCAGCUGGAGUUAAAUAACUUGGUGCCAGCUGAAAGAUAAUCGCCCAUGCAGUAAUUGUCAAAUAGAAGGCUCAUACACAUUUGCUUUUAAAUUCAGGUGGUGACUGUUAUUUUUGUUGGGCAGUGUAAUUUUUCAACCAGUGCAAAAUCAUCUGCCAAUAUAGACUGAGUUUUCACACUUAACCCAAGCUUGAAUGUAUAUUUAAUUUCAUAAAAUCACCACCUUGUCAGCAAACGAAUCUUGUAAAUUGAAGUUGAUUGUUGUAGUUUGCACCGAGUAAGUUUAACUGGAAUUUAAUAGUCUGCAAUGUCUGGAUUUCGACACAGUGAAUCACCGUUCCUCAAUGUGUAGCAGCUGAACAUCUGAUGUGCUAACAAGAUUGUCUUAAAGCUGCCAAAAAAGGUAAUAAAACACAUUUACAAUGAGAUGAUCAUUUUCCCCAUCAAAACACUAUUCUUUGUUGCUAAAACAAACACUGCACCUUGUUGUAAACUGCACCAUAUCUAUCUCGGAGCAGAAUUGGCUGUCAACAGAAGCGUCUUGUUAUGAACACCUGUUAGAUAUAGACGAGAUGGAGCAGGAAAUUUAUUUUCAUAUGCUGCGUUUUGAGGAAAUUCACCCCAUGAAAGAAUUCAUCGUACCAUGACAAAGUCAUAAACUAGCUCAGGAUGUCAGUUUGUCUGCUCUUCAUAACAAUGAGGGAUGAAAGGGCCGUCUGAAAUCUUGAUAAAUUGGCAUUAUUACAUCAAACUGUUUACAGCUUUGAUGUUUCUUUCUGUGAAGCCGCAAAGAAAACAAAUUCAGAAUGAGUAAUGAAGCAGUGACAUGUCAAUUUAGGUGAGGCACUGAGCUAUUGUAAUCAUUUAAUCACAACCCAUCAGACAAAUCAUAUUUAUCAGGCAAGAUAGCACCAGCGCUUUAUAUUCCUGCCCCUCACUCUUUCAGUAUGGCGUAAUCCAGAAAAUCACUUGAGCGGAUUAUUAUGCAAUCCAAUUAUGGUUCAUAAUCUGAGCCUAGAAAGAGUUUUUGUGCGUCUUUGCUGUCUGACUGCAAGAAAGUCCUUUUUAUCUUAGUUGCAAGGCUGAGUUAUAUUAUUUGUUGUAUAACACUGGAGUGGGUGGAGAACUUAGCAUGGGAAUGUCUUUAAAAAAGAAAUAGACCAGACAGACAGCAGACAGGUUUUGGAGAACAAAUCAACAAAAUAGAUGAAAAUCCACUGAGAGGAACAGCUCAAAAAAAAUUGGCCACAGAAGGCCAUUGCUGAAAUAGCUGGCUGUUAACAGAGUGCUGUGUAGAAGCAGAUUCAUGGAAAGAUGACUGGAAGGAGGAAGUGAGGGAGGAAAAGGUGACCGAGCAAAACAGGGAUAAGCGCUGCUUUGAGAGAACUGCCAAACAAAGAUGAUUUAAGAACUUGAGGGAGCUUUACAUGGAGUGGACCGAGGCUGAAGUCAGAGCAUCAAGAGCCACUACACACAGAUGUGUCCAGAAAAUGGGCCACGUGUGUUAGGUUCCUACUGCCCACCUGCUCCUGAGCCAGAGACAACCCUAUAAGAGUUUGACCCGGGCAAUGAAGAGAGGGAACUGAACAAAUGCUGCAAGCUGAUGAGCCAUCCAAUGUGCCCCUCUGAUUGUCAUUGGCACUUGGUCAUGUCAAUCAUUCCGCUGGUUACAAAGCCAAGCACUAACUACUGAUUAAGAGUAUAGAAUAGUGCUGUUAUUGUUCUCAUUUGGAGUGGUACUUAUUCUGCAUAAAACUAAUUACAAUACAAAACACUGAAACACUCUUUAACGUUACUUCAUUUUCUUGCUUGUGUUGGCGGUCAUGGCCAAAGAAGGAUUCAGACAAUUUUCCAUACUUUCUGGUUAGUUUAAAAGAAAAAACAAAAACAAAAAAACUUACAAGUAGGAUUACUGCUGCACAUCCCUGCAAUGUACUGCAAACGCAUACUCUAAAUAGCAGAGGAAAUAAAAGCCCUCUCAACUCAGGUUUUAGUCGUUCUCUGGGAUAAAGCUGUCUUCUGCAUCCUUGAGAAUCUGUGCAUCUGCUGUAACAACAAUGUCUCAUCCAGUCAUCACUUAAGGUCAAAGGAAGGUUUGUUCUUAUGGUUUCAGAGAAAGAUUGGUUCCACUUCUGAAAACUCAGAAAGAUAAUGCUCACCAACUAGAUUUGAUUCCUUCUAGACAAAUCAGGCUAUCUUUUCCCCCCCAAAUACUCAGUCUUCAUGCUAUGCCAGGCAAAGCCACUACUGGGUGUGUUUUUAUAUUUUAUUCACAGAUAUGUCAAAAGUGAAAUCAAUAUCCUUACCUCACCCCUUGGCUAGAAUGUGAAUAAAUGCAUUCUCAAAAGUGAAAAACAAAAACCCUUGGAGAAUGAGGGUCGUGACCUUCCUCUGCUAGAGCUGGAAAAAUAGCCACAUUGUAACCAACAUGUUUUCAAAACUCGGACAGCAUAGAUAAUAUUGACUGAUUGAAAGACAUGAACUUGUGUAAACUUACUUUCCUGUUUUUACAUAUUCUAGCUGACAUUGAAAAUAGUUAAAUUGAAAACUGUAGGCUACACAGAAAACUUGAAUGAAUGAAACUGAAAAAAAUAAAAAUGUUAUCAAAAAAGAUGAUGAAAAAGAAGUCUAAACUAUACUCUUUAAAUGAUGUCAGAAAGACCAGUGCCUUCAUAACGUCUCAAACUAGAUAUAUGACAAUAGAGCCUAUGAGGAAAAGGCAAACUGUUUUCUUAUGUCUGUGAAAUCAAAGUCAAAACUGUUAUAUACAAAUCCAAAACUGUUAUAUGACAGCAUUAACAAAUUGACAAACUGAUUGACAAAUAAGAGCAGUGGGUGGGCACAGCUUUAGUGGUCUUAAUUCAGUCAUUUAUUUUAUUUGAUAUUAUUGGAAGUUUCAUUAUAUCGCAGGUGUGAUUUAACUGUUUGUUAAUAAACCAAAUCACUUCUUGCAAGUCUGAAUAUGGCUGACAGCAAUGUCGCUGUGCUUUAAGGAUGCUGAUGAGGUGUCUUCUAUUCAAAACAUUACCAAAGGUGGCUAAGCUAUAAAGUAUCUCUUUGUGAGUAAUACUUAAAUGAAAGAAAAUGUUGAUAAUAUGCUAUCUGUCCAUGAAACCGUCCGUCUUCUCUUACAAAUGUGGUGCCAGGAAGAUUAUUUUCAAAGACACGAGCCUAAGAUACAAAUAAAGCACACCUAUGAGAUACUAAAUCACACAUGCGAGAUACUAAAUUGCACGUGCUAGAUAGUAAAUGCAAGUGCGAGAUACUAAAUCGCAUGUGUAAAUUAAAUUUAAAAAAAAAAAAAGAAAGAAAAAAAAAGUUAAUGAUACAGUCUGUGACUGAAAACUGGGGGACUUUUGGCACAUUGCUGUUUUAUGUUAAAGGGUGACACAUUUUGGUCUUUAACAAUUCUCCUGUUUUCAUUUUUGUUUUUUAGGAGUCCACUGGUGGAUGGAAGUCACUACCUGAAACCCUGAGUUCACACAAUCCAAGUUGGCACUUUUUCGCUGACAGUGUUAAAGGGAGUAUUACUGACGACCCGACCGGUUCAUCAUCUAGAGAAGCAUAUAUUCAUAACCUGAUUUGAUUCAAGCAUUCAAAAAAAGAGAUCAACGACAGAAAAACAGCACGCAAUACCAUAAAGGAAUACUAAGAAACAUGCACACACAAUAAACCCGGUUUGCUAGGAUACUUGAAGACAUCAGCUUUUUCCCACAGCAUAGACAUGGAAUAUCAAAGCUUCUGAACACUUCACUUUAACACAGUGAUCAAAACAUCGUCAUAUCUAGUUGUAUUGUACUUUUACAUCUUCACAAGACACACAGCAUACAUCACCAUAGGGCUAUAUGGCAGACUCGCACUAUUCAUCUUAAUGCUACAAAUACCUAUCUUUGAUUCUGAGGAUGAUGUAUUCAACUGUAGAUUUCUCAAAGGAUCCCCCACAGAGCUCUGAUCUGAAAAAAAAAAAAAAAAAAAAAAAAAAACUUUCCCGGUCUACUAUCUUAGGGCUUAAUUAGAAGCAGAAAUGUUCAAAUCUAGCAAAGUGCCUCCACCAAUUCAGCAGCCAAGACUGUCUGAUAGAAAUACUGUAAAGCUAGUUUUACCACUGGCCAUAUAUAACGAGAGAGAGAGCGCAAAAACUCCUCAGAGACCACAGUGAUUCUGAGCCUCAGUACCCCCGCUGGCCUGGGAUGAAUUCCCGACAGAGAUCUUUGGGUUGUAUCUUGUCUCCAGUACUCCUUCUUUUCCCUCCCACUCUUCAAAAACUGUGAAGAGACACCAUAAAGCCAUAAAAUGAAGGGUUGGAGCUCUGAAAAAUAAUGCUAAAAAGAGUGUAAAAAAAAAAAGAAAAGUGCACUUUGUUGAGUGAGGCACACUGAUUCUUUCACACACUUAUUUGCAGGCCUUUUUUUUUAAUAAGAAUCAGGGUUGUUGAUGGCUGUGCAUGGAGAGACUGCAGCAAAUGGUGGCACCAAGAGGACUGGUUCUUUCAAGUUUCAUGGCGUAUGUCAGUAACCUGCCACUCCCUCCCCAGAGAUUUAGAGUAGUGUUAGCAUCUUUGGUCUGAUUAUUAAAAAAGGACUUGUCUUGUUUUACUCUGUGGGAAACAAAAGGGUUCACUUUAAUCACAAGUGUUGACCAUAGAAUCUAUAAAACAUGGACAUAGUCUCAGGGAUUUCAGAGUUUGGAAAAACCAAGGUUGGGGGUCGCCAUAUUGGAAAUACAAGAGGUUAAGAGGCUUCAAGCCUGUUAUUCAAGUCAGCCACAACCAAAAUUAUGGCUAAUAGCAAAAAAGUAAAUCAAUGAAAUUAAAAAAAAUCUUAAUACCCUCUGAGGGAGUUUGAAUAAUUUGCCAAUUUAGUGUGUGCAAAUAGAAAAGUGGGUUAUUCCAUACAACAGGCUGUAAACCAGGUCUCAUUUAGCUGCUGGUUCCAGGUUUGACUUUAAACUAUGACACAUUUUGGCUUCCGUCACCUUUGAGCCCUUAUUGCACUUCUUAAUUAAUGUAUAGUUUUAGUAAAAAGAGAAAGAAAAACAUUUAGUCCAGUUAGAGUUGAUGAAAAGUCACAACAUUUUAAUUUAAUUUUAAUCAAUAAAAUUGUUUUCUAUGACUUCAAAUUAGUUUAACUAGAAAUUGUUAUUUAAGUUGUUUUUAAAUAUGCAUUGUUUCACUCUCUUGGAGCUAUAACCUGUGAAAAAUCAAGAUUCCUUACCUUAGUUUGAUGAUUUAGUUAUGCUUUGCAAGAAUACAAUGCUGGUGCCUGCUGAUCCAUCAAUGUGGUACGGAGGAAUAAUACUCCAAGUUAAAACCAAAACACUCUAAAGCAACCACGGCUAUCGGAACCCGAAAACUCAGCCCCUUAUGCCCUGAAUUUCAUUAGCAUUAUUAUCAAUGCACCACUAAUGAUUUCUACUCGCACUGUGUGAGCACAACAACACACAAUGUUAUUUUCAAUUUGUUUUGAGUCAUCAAUGAGUGCAUCCAAGAAACGCCCCUGGACAAGUGUGCUGGAUGGCUCCAAGGUGCAUCUUCACCUUUGAUGAUCAAGAGUUGAACAGGACAAUGGAAGAUCCUACCAUAUAGAUGUUUGUGGGUCUUCAGACUAGCAUAAACAGGGUUUGGACACUGAAAAAUGAGGAAUGUCAAAUAUCAACCUGGUGUGGUCAAAGUUUGUAUAACAAAAAAUAAGAGAGACACCAAGGCAGAGAGGACUGUGGGGCAGUUUUGCUUAGAUAAGUGAAAAAAUUACAGCUGCACUCCUGAACUACCUCAAACUGUUACAAGAAUGGUUGUAUUUUGAGUAAUUUUGGGAAAGAUAUGAUGGAUUUUUGAAGCCCAACAGUACACCUUAAACAUUAUUGUUUUAUCAUCUCAUGAACAAAAGAAAAACGUAUGUGAUAGAUGUUUUUUUUUUUUUUUUUUAACAUAAUAAAUGAAGACUGCUGUUAACAUGUUUAUCUUUGUAAAGAUAAACAUAUUCACAUUGGUGUUAAUGCGGUUUUCUGGGAUUUUGGAGACAGCCUCAAGUGGACACUCAGGGAACUGCAGCUUUUCUCACUUUUGAUUUGGCUUUAUAUUUUAAAACAUGUGGUUGUGCCUUGGUUGAGACUGUUAAGUUUUGAUAGUUUCUGUUUGCCAACUCCCGUUUUCUCUCCAGUAUCACAGGGCCGCUCCAGGAAACCAACAUUAUGAUGGUCAUAUGCUGGACCCACAGCUUUACACUGUAAAGAAACCGGUAGGGUCAUCACUAUUAAUCUAAAGUGUAUAUUUAUUUAUGCUUCAAAGGUUUGGCUGAAAUCAACAUCAUGUCUCCAGCUCUGGAUUUUGUUUUGUUAUAAAAGGCAUAAAUUGAGAUGCUAUUGGGGGCACCAUUGAGAGGCGGCUGGAUCACAGCAUGUAAACCCAAACACCCACACUCUUGUAGCAUCCAAUUAAAUUGUUUUGAAGUUCAGGGCUUCUGCUUUGUUUUGGUGUGCUUGUUUUUUUUUAUCCAGUUGUGACACUGAAUGCGGUAUCAUUAGCGCCGUUUCUGUUCAGGACUGCUCAUUCUAUUCAUCUCUCUUCAUCAGUCUUUGUUCCUCAUCUUUCCCCCAUCUUCCUUUUUCCUUCUCCUCUGCUUUCAUCUAACAUCAGAGGAACAAAGUUGGAGUUUUCAACCUUAUCUUCUACUUUUUUCUUUGACUUUUCCACCCAAAUACACAACCAUGAUGGUUAAGCUGUUAAGUCUGUCAUGUUUUUUUUUUUUUUUGCUCUGACUUCACAUUUCAACUCUUUUUCUCAUUUUUCCACCAAUUUUGGCUUCUGACUUGUGUUUUCAUCUGCUCUCUCUCUACCUGGCCAGCAUUUUGCAGUUUUCUUCUCUACCUGUGUGUGUGUGUGUGUUUGUCCCUUUAUCUCCCACCACUCCAGACCUCUCUCAUAUGUUCCAAGUAAUGAGGUCUUGCUUUCAGGGCAGCACAGCCAUCUACCUUGGAAGGAAUAAACAACCAAUCAUACAUCAUACCUGGCCUGACCCUCAACCUAUCAGAUACCAGAUCAAAGCAGGAAGUGAAGGAGAGGGGAUGCAUCCUUUCGCUAAAGAUGGACCAUCAUUAGGGGAGACAAGAUGAAGGAUAUGUGCAUGAUUUCUGGUGUGUGGCGCUUAGUGUGCAGAGAAAUACU
RNAcentral lists this long non-coding RNA (74873 nucleotides) under Xyrichtys novacula (pearly razorfish). Lineage: Eukaryota; Metazoa; Chordata; Actinopteri; Labriformes; Labridae. The record is from RNAcentral.